This 83075-nucleotide long non-coding RNA is filed under the name Coffea arabica (coffee). RNAcentral's name for it is "long non-coding RNA (CARA_LNC004510)". The record is from RNAcentral. Lineage: Eukaryota; Viridiplantae; Streptophyta; Magnoliopsida; Gentianales; Rubiaceae.
UUUUUUUUUUUUUUUGUUUUUUGAUAAUGCGUAAUCUUUUCUUACAAUAAUAAUGUAUACACGCGAAGGCAUUCCAUCAUGUUUCAUAUUCAUAUGCACCACCACGUGACAUUAACAACAAAUAGGAUCUGCGGUAGGAAAUGGCCAAACCCCAUCUACGUGAGCUGAACUUAAAGUUCCGGCUUAAAAAUUCCUUCCCACGAGUUGAGACUCCUUCGAAGGGAGAAAUUCAAGCAGCAUUUAAGACUUUAUUGUAUGUACACUAACAUGUCUUGACGUAUGCUACAUGUUUGGAGUUCAAACUUGAAUUAAGAUGCCGUAGCAUACUUUCAAGCUUUCAGUGUAUGUAUAUGUUAAUAUAGAAAAGAUUAAUUCAAUUAUAAAUAAUAAUAAAAGUAUUUAUUUUGAUCUUUGAGUCAGUUGAGGAAGUCAACACUUCAUGAUUUAACAAAUAGCCCUAAACUAUAUCCCGAUUCGGCUGAAGCAAGCAAGUGGUCUUUGGCAUUAGGGAUCAGUGCCUCUCUGUAGCAAAGGUUUGAAAAUCUAAAGACAAACCUAACCCUCUUGAUUACGAAAUUAGGUAAUGAUUAAAAAGCUAGUUGGUGUUAGUUGAUGUUAGAUUGUGGGCUUAAUUGGGUCCAUCUAACACUACUGAAAUGCGUUCUCAAUUAAUUAGCGGCCGAUGGAACUUUAAAAGCCUCGCUCUACAUAGGUGGCCUUUCCAAGAGGCGAAAGAUUAGCUCUAAAAAAGAAAAAGAAAAAGAAAAAGAAAGAAAGGAGAAAAAAUUAAAAUAAAAUAAAAACCCUUUAGUAGGUUCUGAUUUUAGGAAACAUCGGAUCAUUCGUUCAAUGAUCUACCCCCUUUUCUCUGUUUCUAAAGGAUUGUUGUCGAUGGAUUUUCAAAUUCACGUUUUUAUAUUGUCUGACCAUCCAAUCAUUUGACUACUUUUUCAAGUAUGUAGUCAAAUAGCAAUCAUUGUGAAAAUUUAAAAAAAGCAAUCCCAAACAUAGAAGAGAGCCAGACUUGUUAAAUAAUCACACAAGAUCUUCAAAUUACAUAAAUGGAUAGUACAAAAACAUUAGAGUAAAUGGGAUCAAAUAUGCAGCAUAGGCAUUUUGGCCACAAGAAAAACUUCAUCUAAGAUCAAUACAGUAGAUUAGUCUAUAGUCUAUUGAUCAUUAAGCACGAUGCCAAUUUCGAUAUUGCCUACUAUAAAGCAUAAUAUGGCCAAGCUAUGCAAAUCAUAAUGCACUUAGAUACUUGAAAAAAAUGUUCCACGAUAUAUACAACUUGAAUUUGCCCUUUCUCUUGCAUUUGGCUUUUCUCCUCUGCGCAUGCAUAAAUUUGUAUGUAUCCCUAGAUUGUAGUAGGGCACAAUAUGUAUGCAUAAUUCAACUCUUAAAUGCUUAAUUAUCGUUGUAUGCAAUUUUAAGGCAGAUUAUUAGCCUGGUGUCCUUUCAAUCUUCCAUGGGACAAGAAGUAAAAGCACUCCUACUUCGGCCACACGAAAUAAUUGGUUUGGAAUUAUAGUAUACAAACGCGGAAUUAUAUUGAGAGAGACGGAAAACGUUACCAUACAAACACUUUUUUAUUUUAUUUAUUUUAGUAAGAUGAUGUAGAGAGAGCGUUAUUAAAGCAAAAACAAAGUGAUAGGAAAAACAUCGUGGUCUCUUUGAUGCGGUAAAAUUGAUGUCCUAAUUCUUAUCAUUUAGAUGUUAUGACUGUUUUGGCCAAAAAAAACCCAUUUAUCAUUAUUUUUUACAUUAGGUGUUUUCUUUUUCUUUUUUUUUUUAACUUUUCUUGGAGUAUUACUUUUACAAACUAUGUCUUCCUUAACGAUUUAAGUCCGUACUAGUGAAUUUCUUGCAUCAGUUUUAAUAUCAUUCACAUGAUUCUGUAAAACAAAAUUAAUUGAUUCAUAUGAAAUAGUUUUUGCAAAAAAUAAAUGAAUAAAUAAAAGAUCCAAAAUUAAUUGGUCAUUUAGAGCAACAAUUAAAAACUUGCAAAGGACCUAUUUUCAAGGAUUUUGGAUGGUUCAGCCUACAUCUCGACCAACAAUUAGUGGAAUUUGUUUUUUAAUAAACGAGAACAAUCAUGGGCAGUUCAACCGUGAAAGGUAAAAAUUAACAGCUUUAUAAAAUUGGACUCAUACUCUCCAUAAUUUUCCUAGACGAUAGUAUUUCAGUUAUUUAUAUAGCAUUUAUCUUACUAAAAAUAGCAGCAUCUGCAAUCAUAAUUAUUAUGCAUGAUCAACGCCGUGAUUUGUAGGGCACAAUCGUGCAUGCAUGGCACGUAACAGACCUAAGUGUCCUUUCAAAAAUAUCAGGAGGAAAUGAAAGAGUAGCAGAAAUAUUCAAUCAAGGGGGACCUUUAAUUAGGAUGGGGCUUGGCAUAUCGACGAGGAAGUGCAAUUUUCAGGCCAAUUAUUAGCUUACACAAAAUCUUUUACUUCGUUGUCCAUCCAGCAAGCUAGAAUUAAAAGCAAGCCGUCUGUGGCCUCAAGAAAUAAAUCUUAUUAGGGUUAAAUGGAAAAUGGAAAUAAAAAAGGAUAACGUUUUUAUACACUGUUAGUGUAUAAAAUAUUCUUUACCCUAGUAAAUUUAAAUUAUGGCAAAUAACAUGAAUUUAGAUUUAAAAUUCUAUCACAUCAACUAAUUUUUAGGAGUUUAUCUAUUAUGAUAUUUUCCAUAAACCGUGGACUAAUAUACAACAAACAAUUGCACGAAUCUACAGUACUGUCUCUAUGCAAUGAAUCACCAGAGUCGACUUAAUGAAUAGGGAAGGGAUGUUAUAGUCUUUUCUCCCAUCAAAAUUUAGGGUUCGAAUCCUGUGUGACUUGAUAGUUAAGGACGAAAAGGAUGUGAGAAGGAAUAAAAAGAUUAGUAUAUAUAUAUACACGUACAUGCGCACACACAUAUUAAAAAUUACUUAAGUUCCUGCGUGAAGUUUAUCAUGAUAUAAACGUUAUCAGUCAGAAAUUAAGUUUUAGUCUUCUUCGCAUAGGUAUCUAAAACAAGAGGAUGCUCUAUACGCUGAAAUAUGAUAUGCUGUUCCUAAACGUAUAAGCAUUUUUUGGUGGAAUGACUAAUAACAGCACGCAUUAGAUUUUAUCCACCAAAAUGCGCACAAGGACGAUAUAAAAAUCUCUGAAGUAUGACGGAAAAAAUCCUGAAUUGCAUGCACUUUAGCGACAAAAAUUUGUACUCGCUUACGUAAAAAAUAACAAGAACUCACCGUUUAUCUUUAUACUUGAACCGCACAAAGAAAAAACAUAUAAGACAAUCUCUCUAUUUUAAGAUGAUCGAGACUAUACCAGUAACUUUUGCUGUCUUCUCUACUAUUAUACACGUGCUGUGAAUUUUUCCAAGGAUAUGUCUUUCCUAGCUUUUAGGCCUAUUAGAAUUCUCAGUAUUAGGAGGAUCAAGAUGUCCACAAUUAUCAAAGUAAAACUAGGAGGUAAGUUAAAGUGGGUAGAUAAUUAAUCCCAUAUAUGAUAAUUACUUUUUUUUUAAGGAUUGAAGGUGUUAUGAUAAGAGUACCUCGUACGCCAUGAUAUCUUAUUUGCCUAUCAGCUAAUGUUUAUAUAUUUCAUCGUUUGGGUUGUCUCCAACUCGUGAAGCUUGCCUGAAAGGAUUUUAGAGGGAGUACAAGCUCAAUUAAAUCAAUUUCCAACUACACUGGUUUCUUUGAGCCCCUACAUUGCAAAUCUUGCUUGUACUUGCUAUAUUCGGUAUCGUACGUAUGAUUCAUUGGCCUAUGGUUUUAUCGAUUGCAUGAAAAGACUACUUCUACGGGAAGUAUCUUUGGGUAAGUUUAGAUGAUCAAAUCAAUAUAUUCAGACGCAUAUACAAAUAUUUCAGUCUUUCCCUACCUAAAAUUAUCAGUUUGAAUACGCGGGAUGGCCAUUAAAUUGAAUCGAUCACCUCACACACCCCACAAAAAAAAAAACGCACACACACACACACACUUUAUAUUAGGCUGUGUCUGCCAUAAUCAAAACCAUCAGUUCGUAUAGAUAUGAAAGUUUAUAAAGUCCAAGAAUUUAGUGAAAUUCAGGUGUCCAUUAAUAUUGAUGGCUGCAAGUGCCAUUGCAAACUUUAUUCAUAAUUAAUUAAGCUACAAUGCUUAGCAACUUUAUUAAUUUGUAACUGAAAUUGCUUCCAUACUUUGAGACACUAGCUCCCUAUAACAAAGAUUCAACCUCUCUAUGAUUAUAAUUAACCCCGAAUUUUCAAGCCGCUAUGCUUGUACUUAGGGCUCUGGACCACGUCCCCGGAGGCUGCAGCGGCUGUUGCAUUUCUUUCAUGCUUCCCAUCGCCACUGCUACUCCCCUUAGUGGCAACUCCUUGCACUUUUUUGCACGACGGACACACUGAGAUCCCCACGCAGUUUGUUAUUUGUGCAUAAAAUGCUGCCCUUAAGGCUUUCAAAUCGUCAAUCUCUUUCUUCAACUUGCCAUUUUCCUCUCUCAGAUUGUCGCAAUGGUUCCUCCAUAGCUCGCAAUCAGUUUCUGUUUGCUUCAGUUUUGUUCUUCGAGAUCAUUCCAAGAAUUGUAUUUUCAAUCAGAUAAAAAUUGAAAACGAAGUGUAAUAAACAACCCAGAAAAGAGAAAUUAAAAAAAAAAAAACUCGGAUUUAGGUGUUGAUAAAAUAAUCACCUGGCCCUCCUGUUUUGGAACCACACCUCAACUUGCCGAGGUUUCAAACCUAACCUGGCAGCCAGCUCAAUUUUCUGAGCCUGCAACAAGUGUUAAUCGAAUAUUUCUUGUCCUCAGAACUAGUAAAAACUUUGUAAAUCCAAACGAAAUAAAUUCAAGUACAUCUUCUAAUGAUGUGAUCUGGUCUCUCCUGAUCAUAUAUUUCUCUCUACAUUUAAUCGCAAUUCUUUUCACCUUAAGAAAUUUAGUAACAUGCUGCUCAUAGAUAAUAUACACGUCCAGAGUAUCAAUAAGAUUAGAAGGAAAAGGCGCGCUAAUUAACACGUCAAGACUGUGACGGGAAAAAAUGAAAGAAAUACUUACAGUGUUGAGAGUGGUGUGCUUUUUGAAACUAUCUUCUAGAACAGCUGUUUGCUCCUUAGAGAGCCUCAACUUCUUUCUGCUUUCACCGCCAUUAUCCUCGCUAUUUCUGCUAGAUUGUCCUUCGUCAACCAAGGACAGGUCCAAUGACAAGGCACGCUUGUCUGGCUUAGGCACUGAAUUGCCGGAAGAAGUACCAAUUCCGAGGGCAAGUUUGGUGUUGCAAAAGUCAUCAUCCACCAUGAUUGAGGAUACAGAGAGAGGGAGAGAUGGAGAGAAAAGUUGAAAUGAUAGAAUGAUGUUGGGAAAGGGGGGAAUAUAUACAUACGUAUAUAUAGGUUGUAGCUAGGAAUUUUUUUUUUUUUUUUGGAGUGAUGGAGUAAUUUGUUGUUACAUGAAAGUGGGAUCAAAUAAAUAAUGUAUUUAUUAUGAAGUUAUAAAAGAUGACAAAGCAAAACUGCAAUAAUAUGAAAUAGUAAUUAAUUGCAGGCGUUAGAGUAUUUGUGGAUCCUUAGAUAGAAGCUCAAUUAGUCUAUAAGCCAUGCUUAUUCUAGAUGUUUGACUUGUAUGUUUAAUGUUAUGGAAGAUUUGAACCUUAAUUUUGUGUAUAUUAAUUUGUUUGAAGGACAAAAGUUCCCUCAGUAAUUCUGGUUUGCUGCUACUCAUCCUGCAGAGUUGAUUGAUAAUCUGAUUAAAUGCAGCAUGUAACUUCACAGGUAUUCACUGAUAGAGAUGAAAACAAGCAAGAUCUGUAAUAGCCGGACGGUUAUGAAACAUUCACCAACCCCCUGGAUUAUUGGUAUUAAAAAAUAAAAUGUUUAAUUAAAGAGAGCUAGCAAUUAUUAAAAUAAAUUUUCUUCAUUUAAACAUGAAUUAAUAUUAUUGGAAAAUUAGACGAUGGUUUUGCAAAAAUGAUCCUAUAAGUUGGUUCUAAAAAUUGUUGCAGCCCAAUUUGUGGAUUGGUCCAAUAACAUGUUUUCAAAUUUCAAUUAGUGAAUGAGGUUCUGCCAUUCUUCUUAUUGUUUAGUUUUGCAAGCCCUUCUCAAUGAGUUGCUAAGAAAAUUGAGAUGCGAUAAUGAUGAAGAUUGUUGGAGUUCUAUAUGGAGCCAUACAUUAAUUGGUUCGUGAAAGUUGAACAAUUUAAAAAUGCAUUUAUUAUUAAGUUAUGGAAGAGGGUGACAAAGCAAAACUGCAAUAAUAUGAGAUAGUAAUUGUACGCGUUAUGAGUUUUGAGUCUUAUAUUGUAUCCUUGCCUCGAAGUAUAAUAAUAUCCCGUGUGGCAUUCUUGAUUUUACGGGUGUAACUUCUAAGUUUAAGUUUAGCCAACAAUCAAUUGCAAUUUUGGAAUAUGGGCAUAUAAGGGAAUUCGCGCGGUUUAAUUUGGAAAGGUUUAAUUUGGAUCAAUGUUGGAAACCUCACAAAUUGUUGAAUCAUUAUUUAUUUAUAUUGGGUCUAUCUAACGGGCGCUUAUAGGUCAUUUGUUAAGAUAUAUUUUAGACGUCAUGUUUUAUAAAUGUAAAAUUAAUUAAGAAAAGUAAAUAAAUAUAAGAAAAGGUAGAUAAGAUUAAAUAGAGAAAGUAUAUAAAUGCAAGGAAGGAUAAUAAUUAUUAGUAUGCAUAUAUUCAUAGUAAGUUAUAUAAAUUUUAGAUAUAUUAACGGCUGCCAAAUUGACACCCAUGAAAAGAAUCCAUUUAUACUAUAGCUCUGCGCACAGGAUUUGGCAAUAGAAAUGAGACGAGAGCAACCAUGGAAAGGUAGACGUUUUCAAACGUACACCUGCACCACAUGAGUUCUUGAUUUUAACUAGGAAAGGCUGAAUUGAGAGAGCGUAUAAUUAUCAAAUAUUGCUAUGAAAAGUUGGAUUGCAAUAAUUUGUUAGAAACAAUAGCUAUUAUAUUUGCCUACCAAUUGGUUAUAAAAUUAUUACGUGGUCCAAAACCUACGAACUAUUAUUUUAAAGUGAGACGUAUUGAAUUUAGAACCUCCUAUUUAUAAUUCUUCCCACCUUAUCACGUAAUUCAAUGCUCCCCAAAACUAUGAACUACUUAAAUGAUUUGUGUUAGAUAAUUGAUUUUUUUAAAACUAUUUUGCGUAGUCUUUUUCUUCUUCAUCUUCUGUAAUGAAACAAAACCUACGCGAGAAAUUGAGUGCUUUUUGUAUGCAAAUUCCUCUUAUGGUUGAAAAAAAUAUCUUAUGUAUUUUGAUAUGGAUUGCGAAAGAAUAAUGUGAUCAAGUCAUUUUAAACGAGAAAAAGAAAGAAGAAAAACUAAUUGGUGAUUUAUAAAUUUAAAUGCUUCCAAAUAAUCUACACAAUAUAAAAAUUUUCAAAAUUUGCAUCAAAUCUUUCAAUUAAAAUACAAGAAUUUUCUAAAAUUAGACACAAGCCUUAUCUAUAUAUAAGAUGGAUGAGAAAUAUAUUUAUGUACUCUUUCAUACCCAUUGCGAGAGAAUAAUGUGAUAAGAGCACGAAUAGUGUUUGGCGACUAUAUAACAAUUAGCGAAGGAAAUAUAUGAAUGUGGUAAACAAACUAAAGUGAAUAGCAAGUUAGCAAAUGAGUGGUCCAAAAAGUCCCUUUCUUCUUGGAUUCAUUGUUCAGUUGGUUCAAGAUAGAAAGAUUGAUAUCGAUUAUCACUUCAGCGAAAAGCAUAUAACAAAAAGCUCUGAAGACUAAGAUACUCUUAAAGUUGAAAAAAUUUGUUCGUGUCUAGAUUACUAGUUUAUUGUAUAUUUUCUAACAAACCAUUAAAACCAAUUAAGUUGAUAAUCAGCUCAUUAGCUUUACCACUGGCGGUUAAGUAUCCUAAAUUAAUUGGCCGUUCAUACAAGUUGUAUCUUUUGCCCAAUGCUAUAAAACUGGCUAAAGCCUUAUAGUUAACGUCUUGCCAUCCCGCACUAUUGAUUGACAAAAGAGAAUCUGCCUCGUGUUUCGUUUUAAUGUGAAGCUACCGCACAAGUUUAAAGAAGCCUUAAUUUGCCCUCUUCUUUUCUAGCUUGUGUCAUUUUCUUUUAAUCCAUGACAAUCAUUAACGGCUAGAUGAUGUUUAAUUGUGGGAUGAAUUUUGUUAAUUUAACUGUGAAUUAAGCAUCUAUUCCUCAGUAACAUAAACGAGGAUAUGUUCUCGAUCAUUAUUGUCUUUCUUCCUCUUCCUAACUUUACAACCCUUGCCUUUUGGGAAACAAUUAAAUAAAAAUGAUAUUUUGACAUUAGAUAAAAGCAAAUGUAAUCUGGAAGUAUAAAGCAUAACAUACCAAAUUAUAACAUGAAAAAUAUCAGUCGAAAUCUAAUUUCACAUAUAUAUAUAUAUAAUAGAACGAAGUACAACUUUAUUAUCCUCUCUAUUAAUUUCUUUUAGCUUUUGCCCUCUGCAGUGCUUAUAUAGGAAUGAUGCUAGCUGUAGAUUGUAGGGCACAAUCAUGCAUGCAUGCAUGGUUCGUAACUCUUAAAGAACAAAAUUGUCGUUUACAAAAUAUGGGGAAAUGCAAAGAAGGAAUAAAAAGAAACGAGGGUUGGGUAAGGUUUUUAGGAUGACAAAUGAAAGACUAGUGUAAUAAAAGGAGGGUUCAGUAGGGUGGGGCUUUGCAUGUGGCAUUAGAAUUGCAAUUUGAAGGCCAAUAAUUAGCUUAGAAAAAUUUUUCAACUUGAGCGUCCUUCCAAGUCACAAGAAGUAAUAGCACGCCGGCUGUGGCCAAACGAAAUAAUUGGCCUAUACUUUGGUGAGUGACAAUUACAAGUACAAGGAAAAGGUUUUUUUUUUUUAAACUUUUUCAAUUUCAUUUAUAUUGAUGCCAUGAUGCACAAGGGGUUAGCAUAACUCCAAAAAAAAAAUGUAUAGCAAAAAUGGCAUUUAUGCGUUAAUUAUUUUUUAAAUUGAAAUUGGAAAGCCUUUGUGAGGUGCAGUGACCAGCGGUAAACUUAAAACAUUAUGUGACUCUAUAUGAGAGCCAUUGAUUAUUUUAACCACAGAGAUUGUCUAGUGAUUACGAGAGAGUAUUUAGAAUUUUUUCUACUAUCAAAUUUAAGUUUCAAAUCAUGGAUCUGAUAAUUGGGAAUAGAAAGGGUGUGGAAAGAGGAGGGAGGGUAAAAAAAAAAAAAAAAAAAGAGAGAGUUAUGGAUUAUUUUGUUAUAGGGUUUGCUUAGAAGGGUGUAGCAAACCUUACUGUUUUGUGAAAUUAAAAUAAAAAUGAAAAAGUGUUCAAAUGCAAGGAGAAUAAAGAACAAUGUAGCUUAUUUCAUCCGACUUCAUCUUAUCACAUUAUUAAGUACUCUGAGUAUCUAUCUCAUUACUCAACUUUUAGUUCCUUGAUACUCAAAAUUUCUUUUAAGAAAAAAAAUUCUUGCAGGGUCAUCAUAUAUAUCAACUAGUUGUGAUCGAAAAACAUAAACCGCUAUUAUUACGAAAUGUAAAAGGCUGCUAGAACUUAAAUUGCCGAAAACUAAAGUUAUUGGAUGAAAGCAAUUACCUUGAUGGAAUAAAUAUUGGAAAAGAUACACAUUGUAAGGCCUUUUUCCAAAGACUUAAUUUGGACAAUUUAGUCUCAGUGAAUAAUAGAAUCAAUGGCCAGUGUUAAUUUUCGCGAUAAGUAUAAAGUGUACGUAUUCAUUCCUCUAUCAUAUUUUUGACUUCUUUGAAUAAAAGAGUAAAAUGCAGUAAAACCAAAAGCUCCUAAAAUAUAUACUUUGAAAGACUGAUCAAUGGUCCAUCAUCCUUUAAUAUUCCUACUCGUAAUUCGGUUUUAUUAUUAUACACCCACACGCAUUAUUUUUUAUAUGGUACGUAUGUGAGCAUAUAUACAUUUGUAUAUAAAUAUAAAAUAAUUUCUUCCUAAAUAUGGCAUAUUUUAAUCUAAAAAAAUGUGCAUGAUCACUGCCGUAGUUUGUAGGGCACAAAUUGUGCAUGCAUGGUACGUAUAGACCCAAGCGUCAUUUACGAAUAAGCAUGGUAAUCCAUUUUUAUCACUUUUAUGUAGGAAAAUCUGUUAAAAAGUUACUGAUGAAUGCUAUCAUAAUAUAAACUAGAAAAAGAAAAGCAUAGUCAAAGCGAAAAUUAAUGGUUUUAAUUAGAUAAUCUUGUAAGAGCUUGUACGAUGCAUUCUCAUAAACGUAAACUUCAACAGUCAUAGUAAUCAUGAACGCUACAAAAUAGUUGAAAAAGUAACACAGUAAAAAUACAGAUUUUUUUAAAAAAAAAAAAAAGAAAUACAGACUAUAUACGACGUUUAAACCUCAAUUCCAAUCACUCUCUCCACUUCCUGUUUGUCACUUGUCCUCCAUUUCACAUUUUUUUGUCUCCUUUACCAUAUGAGGACUAGUCCAGUUUCUGAAAAAUUAUAUCAACAUUCGUUUUCAGAACAUUAAAAAUCCAUCUUGGCCUUGAGAUUAUACUCUCAUUUCUGUUCUUAUGCUUUGUGUUUCCAUAAAGCUAGACGGUGUUAUAACAACUCCAUAAAGCUAGAUUUUGGAAUUUGGGCCUCGAAGAAUUCUUGAUCAUAAGGAGGAUAAAAAUGCAACAAAAUUAUACAGCUGCUGAAGCAAUUAACGGGCAAAUGGUGUUAGUAGUCGAACGGAAGGAUCAAAUUGAAAGUCUGAGAGAUAAGUCGGGUUGGGGAUUGAUCAUGGUUAUUGCUAAUUUGCUAUACGUCUUAUGCUGGAUAUCUUUAAAAUUAUAGGACAUGAAUGAGACAACAUAUGUCAUAUCUUGAGACAUAAAUAAGAAGUUUUUCUUCUAUUGUCCAUUGCACAUUAGCAAUUCUCUUAUACAUAAGGAGGAGCGCUAGCUUAAUAUAAUUUUAUUUAAACGCAAAUUCUUAAAGCACUAGUAGUAUUCUUGCUUGAUUCUAGGCCUCUGGACCUGUUUCACAUUGCACCACAACUCCCGAUAAGGUAUUGUUGGUGGCAUACCGGGCACACGAGCACAUAACCUGAGAGACCAUAAGCAUAAAAUGCUCCUUUCUGAUCACCAGUUGCCAGUGCUUUCUGCUUUUCAAUUUCUUCACUCAGCUUGAGAUUUUCCUCAAUGAGAUUUUUGCACACCUGUUUCAGCCUUUCACAUUCAGACACAUUCUUCUUGGACUUGGUCCUUCAUCACAAGAUUUGAGUUUUGUUAUGAUUCGAGUAGGAGCAUACAUGCAAUCAGAAGAAAAAAAAAAGGUUAUGAAUAAUUACGUACCUAGCCCUGCGAUUCUGAAACCAAAUAUCAACUUGUCGAGGGAACAAGCCUAACCUGUCAGCUAGCUCGUUCUUUAGAGCCUGCCAAAUUUCAAUCAGUUUCCUGUCCUUAUAACAUGUAAAACAUCAACAUUUAUUAAUAUGAAAUCAUUUUUCAUCUUCUAAUGAUGUGAUCCCAUAUCCAAUCAAAUUGUUUUAGCUUAACGAAUUUCGUACCACUACUAAGAAAAUAUUUUUUGAUGGAAUGACAUAAAGAUAAAAGCAUUUUAACGUUAUGACUAUAACUACCUAACACAAAGUUCAAUCCAGUGGAUACAAUAAUAUAAAAAUCGAGAAAUGAAGAUGAAAAAAUCAUUACUGUAUCCGGAUUCGGAUGGUCAUUGAAAUUAGCCUCAAGGACAGCAGCUUGCUCUUUAGAGAGCCUUGACUUUUUGGCAUUUUCAUCACUACUCUCCUGGCCCUGGACCUGCUGAGCUCCAAGGGAGAGCUCCAAAGAGAGAACCCUCUUGGUGUUCUUACGGGGACCCCUCUUGGUGUUCUUACGGGGACCAAGCGCUAGAGAAAGCUGAGUGUUUGAGUUUUCACGAGCUUCCAUGGUUUCACUCGAAAGCGAAAGAGAUAUAGGAAAUUGGGAUGGAAAAUACUGACAGCAGGAAGAGGAUAUAUAUAGGCCGAGUGGAAAAACUUCCCGGGCUGAUAUAUUUAUUGGUUGUAAUCACAUGAAAGUUGCAUACAAUUAAUAAUAGAGAUAUGAUAAAGAUUUAAAAUAUGAAAAAAGGACAAAAGCAAUGAUAUGCAAUAAUCUCCUCAGAAGGAAAUUCAAUAAAUUCCACCUGCCAUAUUUACUAUUAUAUAUUUGACUUGUUAGUGCAGUUUUGACAAGAAACAAUGGCAUUUGGCACUUUCAUGUAUGAAAAAUAAUUCCCCAUUAUUAUUUGGUUUGGAUGCUGGCAACCCCCGAACUGUUGAAAUCUAAAGAUAAGCCUCAAAAAAAAAAAAAAAAAGAUAAGGUUGAACGGAAGAGAGGUUUCAAUUUUCGAAAUUCAUUUUCUCUAUGAGAAUGUGAAUUACCAGGACUAAUGCGUACCCCCAAGAAAAAUACACGGUUUUAAGAAUUGGUUUUGGAUAUUUUUUGUAGUCCAAACUAUUUAAAGAUUAGAUAAAUAAUUUGUAUGUGGUUUCUUCUAAAUUCAUAUACGUACAUAGUGCACCCGUCCGAUCUAUUGGUGGUUUAGUCUCCAUCGGUUUCUCUAAACUCUGUUGGGUCUCUUUUCUCCCAAUGGAGACUAGAGUAGAAAUAGAAGUAAGAGUAUUUUAGACUAGUUGUUGCUUGUCUGAUAAAAUACAAAAAGAUAAAUAGUUUAUAUGAGGUUAAUCAACGAGUAUCUUCCAAUUAUUCUUUUUUUUUUUCUCUUUCCGAAUGAGGGUUUUGCAUACGCUAUCAAGGUCGACGUAAUCAUUAGUCAAGCAAAAAGUAAAACAAAAUAAAAAAAAAGGUUUUCUGGUUUUGACACAAAGAUCCUUAGCAGGGCAGACAGUGUAAGUGUUAUCUAUAUUCUUUUGAUAGAAAAGACGGUACAAAUGUGAUUGAAGACACAACUGAUCAUUUACGUGAAUGAACUCACUCGUUGGUAAUUUAAAACAACUUGAAUAGAAAUAGACACACACACACACACUACUGCAUUAAAACAAAGAGAACACACACUAGUAGUCCAGCGUUUAUUUUGUUAAACAUAAUAAAAUAUUUCAUCUUAAGUCUAUAAAUUAGUUAAAGAACAGUAGGUUGGUCUUGAUUGACUCGAUGAUUAGGGAACGAGAGGGGUCAUCAUAAUUGCGCAAUUAAAGAAGUUCCUGUUACAAAAACCUGUAAUUUAUAGUUGACAUUGAUGGUCGCAAAGGUUCCCCUAGAAUGCUUUAGCUUUGAUGGGCUGUUACUCUACGAGUAUGGCUCGAAACACCACUCGUGCUAUGAAAACAGUGGAAUGACGUCUCGUUGAUAAAUCUGUCACUGUCCUAAUCCAUUAUCCACACCCGUCAGUUUUGUCUUACCGCUCUUUAGCACGCCUUGUUAAAAUAUCACAAAGGCUUUUAGCAUUUUUGAAUUAAUUCCAAACUACCCACUUUGUUAUGUUCUCCCGUUGUUAAUUCUUGAUCAGUUGUAGUAGCAGCAUAUUUUGCUUCUUGCUUGCCCUUUUUUUUUUUUUGGCCCCUCCUUUGGUUGAAACUUGAAAGACAAUUAUUUAUUUGAACAUUGAUCUCAUCAAAGAGUUUUCUUCUGCGACAUGGUUUUCCUAGAUAUGCUUGCUAGCUUAAUUUGUACUACUACUAAAUUUUCAGUUCGUUAUGAAGGAAAACUGGGUUUUACUAGAAUUCUCUUAUCAUUAUUGUGAUUCCUUAAAAAAGUGAAGUUAUGUAGCAGUAAGUCGUAAUGUACAAGAAUUACAUAAUGCCAAGACUAAUUAGUUUGUCUCCCAUGAUCAUGAAAUUAACGGCAUAUAUUUGUUUUCUUUGUCAUAGUGGGGAAUCCGGCAAGACAAGUAGUAUAGUGUUCAAAUCUGGAUAUAGUUUCUAUAAAUAAGGGUCGUUCUUGUUUUACCUAAAUUAGAUUAGCUUCACUGUAUACUGUGUGUGGCCUUCAGAAUAAAAUGAUCGAGAAUAUUUAGGAAAAGAGUAUUAGAAGGAUGGAAUCCAAGAACAAAAAAUGUUUUAACUACUCGCUGCACAUGGAACUAGAAUCCUUUUACUCAACUAGAGGAUAAAACUGUUAAUAUUUUACACUACUAGUCGUAAUUUGAAUUUAAAUUUUAAAUUUGAUACAUUUAACAUGUAUCCACUGUUAUGCUUUAAAAAUAUGUAAUUUUGUAGCCAUUUGAUUCUCAAACUUCCUUGUCCUCCCCGCUUCUUCCUUUCUCUCCUCCUCUGCCUAUAAAAACUGUAAAUUAAAAAAUAAAACAAAAGGAACACAUGGACUGGCAUGCAAUUAUUAGCUAGGUGCGAAUUACUAAUUAAAAACCUUGUUAAAAAAAAAAAAAUGUACUCUUAUGUUUUAUUGGGUACUAUAUUUUAGCAAAAGACCUUAAGUCACAGAAUGAAGGCGGAGUACCUCUAUUAAUGAAAGAAAUCUUUGAGUUUCAAUCAAAUUCAGCAAAGCCCUCGAACCUCUGCACUUACUAUGAAGUACGAAGACAGAUUGAGGUGCAUCUUCCGUUGUCGUUGUUGCACAGCUCAAUGCAGUUCCCGAAGUCGUAACUCUGACAAUUGUCACUUUUGUAGCAAAGAAUCACCCACGAACCAAACACCAAAAUGACUAGAAACACAACAAACAUAAACAAGCAGAACAUAGAAAUAAUAUUUCGCCUUUCGUGUUUCUCUUUCAGAAAAGGUGGCACUGGUCGACUACCAACUCCGGCAAGAUCCAGUUCUCUUUCGUGCGUUAGUCGAUCAUACUUCCGAGUCAAUUUUAUCAAAAUUGAUAGAUUAAGUAAGCCCGCAAUUACAGAGAGGGAAAUGGGGAGCCAACGGUAUUGGCAUUUGAGGGGUGAGGGAUUACCAAAGAUGGAUGUGAAAAUGACACCUUGGAAGACCAAGUAGUAAUUUGAAAGCUGAAAAAUGUCCUUCAAUGUUUGUCGAAUUUCCUUCUCUCCUCUCUCCAUUCUCUUUUUCUCUUCGGAUCUUGAAUCUUCAUUUGCAGGAUUGGCCCCUGCCUCGGCAGCAGACAAUUGCGAGACAGAAGAGAAUGGAGAGAGUUGAAGCCCAUCAGGGACAGAAUAGCCUCCUCCUCCUUCCAUGGCUAAUGAUUCAAUCAGUGAUUUGUUUUUGAGAAGCAAAAAUCUUUAUGUCACUCACUCUACUUCACUAGUGCUUCUGCAUGUGACAGACUAUACACUAAAUGACUUAAUGGCAUUAUCAUGUUAAAGGUUACAGUAUUCUGAUGAAUAUUGUUCAUAAAUUAUGAUAAAAGUUGUACGAGGGUCAAAUUGAAAACACCAUUUGGACAGUGGAAGACAAAUAACGACUACGAUAAAAAAUGCACCCAAUUAACUUGAACCAUUCUACAAGAUGCCCAUAUUUUUGUCACGUUGUCAAUUUUCAUAUUCUGUCGUUUUCUGAUUACCUGUCCCUCUAUAGUGGCUGCCUAUAAUCAUAGGCUAAUUGAUUAGAUAGUAAAAUAAUUAAAUAAAUAAAAGAUCCCUACUAGAAGCACUGUCGAAGAUAACCACCAUCCUUUGGUUGGUGGUCACCAGUCAUUUAAGACUUGAUGGGGUGUGAAAUCUUGUCUCCCAUUAAUUGUCGCAUUAAAUGGUUUUCUAAAAAAUUCAGACGGGUCCGGUGGUGGUUCAGGCCCCACCGACUCUCCUUAGACUCAGUUGAAUAUCUCCCUUAAAUUAAGAUAGUGUAGGAUACUAUAGAUAAAAAAUGACGAUUGACAAAAAAAAAAAAAAAAAAAACACUGUCGAAGGCGACAGGGUGACGGACUGGAAAUUUGGCAGGGCUUUUGGAUUCCCGGUAGGUCGAAUGUUAUGCAUUAUCGUUAAUUAAUUUUGAGAAACAUAUAAAACGUACAUGAAUAAGAUCAUUUCUUAGUUGGCCCGGUUGGCUGCAUAUUUAAACAUAUGAAACAAUGAAUUCCUUCAGGGAAAAAAAAUAAAAUGGAAAUCAAUGCAAUUCAUUUCUUAUUUACUCACCUAGAUGUAAUGUUGAAUUAUUUACUUUCUACGAAUUUUAAUCUGUCAACAGUGUCUGCGUGUGUGUGUCUAAGGGAUUAAGGGUCUUUACAAUUAUCAAUAGCAAUUGCAUGGUGCCUUACAAACACUAUUAGAACAAAUUUAGCAUAAAAAUAACAAAAAUGGACAUUAACAUAGUAUACAAUAACAGUAAAAGUACAAUAAAAUUUCUCUAUCAUUGAAAUUUGUUGUGUUCUUACAUAUUGUUAUGUUAAUAUCUAAUUUCAUUGUUCUAAUAGUUAUAUUUACUGCCCUGGUGCUUAUGUUGUACGGUGCAAUUGUCACUGGUAAUGCAGAUGCUCCUAAUCCAUGUCUAAGGGUGCACUUACCAGUUACCAUUCCCAACAUCAUAAGGCCUCAAAAAUCAAAAUUGGACACGAGGAACACGAGAGCUGUUCCAUUUUUUUUUUGGGGGCUUUUCUCAUGUGUAUUUGACAAUUUAUUGGCUGUUGUGUAAGGUGAGAAUUGUGGCCAUCUAGAGCUUGCAAAAAGAAUAACAAUGAGACAAGAGAUCGUCAAAAGUUAUGCACUUUAGGUACAAAUCAUAUUAGACGUCUUCCACAACACAAAUACUUAUUCUUGCUUAAAGCCAUAAAAAUAUUGAUGUUGCAAUAUUAAUGUAGUACGCAAACAAGUACUCUUUGUUAUGCAUACCUUAGUAUUUUAAACCGAUUUCAAGCAUUGAGAAUAUGAAAUUAGCUCAUAAUUUCUUUCUACUCAUUUAUUCUUUUUAGUUCGCCCCCGGGGGUUAGUGCGACCGGUCCAAUAGCCUCCUCUUCAGGAGCAAGGUCCCGUGUUCGACUCUCUCCCCGUACCGCCCUGGAAUCCUUGGGGCAGGCUCUUCCAGCCUGGGGGGAUUAGUCUGGUCAAUUGACUAGGAUACCCCCCAGUCGACAAAAAAAAAAAAUUUAUUCUUUUUAGUUCAUUUGUCAUUUGUCAUUAUACCGUAUAGUCGAGAGAUGCAAAACAUACUAGUUGGUGCAAGAUUGGAUUCCAAUUUUCUAUUAAAAAAUUUGUUACGUAAUAACACAUUUUCUUUUUCUUUUUCUUUUUACCCCACAUACAUUAGAUUGUUACAUUAGAUUUUUCUAUAAGAAAAAAAUCCAAAAAUAACAAUUCAAAAACGGGACCUAAGUUUUUCAUGUGCAAUUAGUAAUGUAAUCACAUAUAGCACACUUAGAUCUUUGCAACUAAAAUGCUGAUAUCCUAGGAUUAAUCAUACUAGUAAUUUUUUUUUUUUUUUUGUCAGUGAUCAUGUGUGGUAACCUGAAUCACCAGACUAAUCCACACGUGUCCCACACCAACUUGCCCAAGCCGUGUGGGUUAUUUCACCAGGGAUUCGAUCUUUUACAAUGAUACUCACCUAACUAGACUACUACCACCCGAUCAAAGCCCCGGGGCGAUUAAUCAUACUAGUAUAACUUUUCUCAGUUUCACUAAGUUGUGUUCCUUCUGAUGUGAAAUACCCCUACCCAAUCUGAGAUCUCAAUGAUGCAUGCCAAAGUUGGCAUAUUACCCACUUGCAAUUGCCCAUACCCAGAAUCACGGAAGCCCACAGUGGCCCAAAGGUCCGCUGACCGUUUGUCCACUUGGCAAAGAAAAAGUGCAAAAGAUCUUUCCUCCUCCUUAAAUUCCAAGUCCAAAAUAAAAAUCGAAAAAGGAAACGGAUAAUGUAAAACUCCAGAUAUUUCUUUCAAUUUUCAUGUGCGAGUGCCAUCCCGUGAAAAUAUCAAAUCUGGGUACAACAUCCCCUCCACGCUGUACAAUAUCAGUUGCCGAACCUCCAUAAAUAUCAAUUCUAGGUGACGUUUGUUUUGGAUUCCAUCUGUUUUGCUGUGAUAACACACUUUUAAGAUAUUUAAUGAGCAUCAUCAUUAUCUAAAUUUAGGAGAAGAGAUUUUCUAUCUCAAAAUUUAUUUCUAAGACAAGCUCAAAGUUGCUGCUUAUAUAGCAACUUUACGUUUCAAAAAUACCAAGCAAAGUUUGAUCAUUUAAUUCCGAGCUGAAUGUAUGCAUAAAUAUAUGCCAAGAAUUUUUAAAUUACGUAUUAUCAAAUACAAUCGAUAAUUAAAAAAAAAUACAAAAGAUGAUCAGGCUGAUAUGUGCAACCUGAUAAACUAAGCUAUUUACAAAGUGAAGUCAUCAAUAGCUUAAGGCUUAAUGUGUUACAAAAGACAAAAACUUUUAUGGGAAUGUAUUACUUGUUUUAAAAAAUUACUUGUAUGGAAAUGCAUUAUUUGAUUGCAUCAUUUGUUUAAAAAGAUUAUGUGACUGCACUGUGAACGCAUUUUCAAUCAGUUAUUUAUCUUUUCAAUCAAAUUUUUUUUUAUCUCACAUUACAUUAUGUUAAGAGUGUGUUAAUCCGAAAAACUCGAUCAUAUGCGGAUGAAUCACAUCCAGAUCAAGAAAUUAUGCAGAUCAGAUUCAGAUAUCACUUUUUUGUGAUCCAGCAAAUAUUCGAUCCGAUUUGCAUAGUAUUUUUUUUAUACAUUAAAUCCACUAAUUUAUAAUAGUUUUAUCUCUUGUUUCUUAUUUUUAUAUCCAUGUCUUCUUUUAAAAUAGACUUUCUUUACAUAUGGUGUUAAGAUUUUAAACAUAUUAUCAUAUAAUUUGUGAAUAAAAAAUUAUUGAUGAAAUAUUGAGCCUUAUUUGUUUGAAUCAAAAUGAGAAAAAAAAUACAAAAGUUGCUUUAUAUUGUAACCAAAAAAUUUAAUUUUGACUAAAAAAUCUUUUCUUAUGACUAAAAAUUCAUGUGUAAGUAGAACAAAUCACUUACAUGAUAUUUUUGAAACUUUAAUACAUUUAAUUUUCAUUUUAUCAAUUAUUAUAUAAGUAAUACCUAUGCUAAUUGUUAUUAUUUUUCAUCCAUUUACACGGAAAGAAAAAAAGAAAAAAGAAGGCCAGAUUUUUUGUUUUUUCUUUUUGGGGCCAAAGCCAAACUUCCUAUCGAGAAGACAGCAGGCGGUGGCAGCACGCACGCUUGUUGUUCCCACACCACCUACGUGAAUUAAGACCGGCAAUUAAACCAACCGUAGACUCAGCGCCCAAUUCACACCGAAUUUCUGCUCCGAUUUUGCCACUCUUCUGUGGAUCGGUCUUUUCUUUUGUUUUCUACCCUUGCUAAUAUUUGCCCCAUCUUCCCUACCACUCAUUCAUUUUCCUCAACCCACAUAACAGAAGCCCCUCUCCCAAACCCCCUCACCAGAAACAAACCCAACCCUAAAUAACUCGAACUCUCCCAACUCAAUUCACCCUUAUUUCUCACCCCUUUUGAACCCUUCAAGCAAUCAUUACUGGUAAUUGUUGAUAUCAUCAGUAUUAUGGGUUGAUGAUGGAGUGGGACAGUAAUUCUGAUGCAAGUGGAGAUGAUGAAUUUGUGGAAUACGAGGAGGAGGAGGAAGAUGAAGUAGAGGUUGGAUUUGGGUCGAAUGGUUUUUUGUUCAGCGGUGGUGGAAAUGGUGGUAGUGGCCCUUUGCCGUUUCCUGUGGACUCAUUGCUCCAGCCUGCCCCUUGUGGCUUUGUGGUUACUGAUGCUUUAGAGCCCGACCACCCCAUUAUUUAUGUCAAUUCUGUGUUCGAGAUGGUCACCGGUUACCGGGCCGAAGAGGUCCUCGGCCGCAACUGGUCAGUUCCCACUUCUCCUCAUUCUUUGCAAUUUCCUCCUUUUUUGUGGUUUGCUGUGGUUAUUCUUAUUUGGGUUUUCUUGAAAUGCUUUCGGAACUUGUGUCUUCUGAUUUUCCAUGUUGAUUUCUCGUGGUUUGGAGAAUUUGGAGGGAAAAUAUGGUAAAAAGGAAGAAAAUUUGUUAUUGUUUACCGAAUCAUGAAAAAAUUUGGGGGUUAGAGUUCGAGGAGAAUUGUCAGCUUAUAUAUAGCUUUAAUUGGGACAUUUCCUUGUUAAUUUUGCAUAAUUUUGCUGUUCUAAUGUAAUUAUGUUCUUUGUUUCAGUUUUGGGCUUUUUUGCUGUUAACCUAGUUAGAGUUACUUAUUAUUGCGAAGUUCCUUGCUUUUUGGGAUGUCAUUUGCUAUAGGACAAGGUCAAAUGUACCUUACUUCGAAUAAAACAAAUUCUGAUUAUUUUGCUUGCUUAGCUAUCGGUUUGUGGUUGAUUUUUUUUCGGUCGUAGCUUAUUCUUCAUGAUUUAUGAAAUGGCUAGUAUUGAGGAAACAGUUACAAUGUUUAAAAGGGGAAACCCUGCUUAUGUUUAAGAAGGGAAGUCUUGAUUGACAUAUUCCAUUACCUAAAAGAGAUAUAGCUAGUUCCUGCAAAGUGAUGAUAUUUUGUGUUCUUCAUUUUGUAUACUACACAGAAUGAUUAGGUCAAAGGAAAUAUAUGUUAUCUCCUCAGUCCAUGAGUUGACAGCAGGAAGGAAUCUGGUGAUUUGUAGCCAAAUUGGGUUACUAGAAUUUUGCCCAUCACUGCAGAGAUGCAUUAUCGAAAAAAUCCUACAGUUAGUUAGGAGAAGUAUGGUUUCUAGUCUUCAUCAUAACUUAUUAUUAUCAAUGUUAGACUGGAACUAUUAUGGCUGAAUUUGUAUAGGGGCUUCAACUUUUAGACGGGAAAAAAUUUAGAUGUUAAUCUGUGAAUGAUAUAUAGUUCUUACCACUGUUUCUAUUGUUACGCAUUACUUCAUUCUUUGUGCAUCCUGCAAGAGAGGUAAAUUUUGUAGCAAUACUUUUCCAUUCUCAGAUGUUUGAAAAAUGAGUUCUGCAUGUAAUUUUUGGGGAAUGACUAGAUCCCAAGGGCAAGAAAAUAAUAAAUUAGUGUAAACAGCUUUCAAGAGGCUAAAAAUGGCUGAGAGUGUUUGAAAACCUCACCGAGGAUGGAUUUUACCGAGCUGUUCUACCUUGUAAGUCAAAUGAUUUUAGCGAUGGGCUGUAAAAUAGGGAAAAUGCUUCUUCCACACUCUGAGGUCUGAAAACCUUGGGCUCUGACUUCUUUCAUGUAGCAUUUUUAGAUUCUGUGCUUGAGGGAUGGAUGAAAAGCUGUGCUGGAGGCCUUUGUCUAUGUUGUUCAGCUGUUCAAAGUAUAGUUGGGAAAGACUUAGAUUUAGAGGUCUUGCCAGGUAGAACUCUGAAAUGAAGUGGAGAGAGAGCACUCCUUUGCAGUAGGUCAUGUAUGGUUCACUGUGGUUGAUGGGGCUUUGAUAUUGUGAUGUAAAAUGUCCAUAUAGUAACAACUAGCAUGCUACUUUACAAGUUAUAUGGUGAUCAAGGGGUCUUGGUUGGCCUGUAUUUUUUUCUUUUCAACUUUUAUCUUCUAUAUGCUUGACUCCUCAAUUGUUGGUGUCAGAUUUUUCUUGACUAUCUGUUAAGGAAGAUAUUGAACCAUUUAGUUAGUCAGAAGAGGAAAGAAAUCAUGGUUAUGUUAUUUGGUUAUGUAGAAGUGUAUUGUUGUUGCUGGAUAGUCAGUAGAUGUUGCUACUACUCCUUGAUUUUACGACCCGUCAACUGGAUUGGAAUCAGUUUGUCUUGGUUGUUCUAUUAGCUCAUACUCAUCCUAGAUCUGAUGAAGAUUUUUUUAGCCAUUUAAAGAUAUGUGCUAGAGUUGGUUUUAGAAGCAAAAAGUGAUGAAACUUGGGUAAUGGAGUUCUGUUUAUAAGGUUGAGGUUUUGCAUGAGCAAGACCCUCAGUACUUUGACUUUGACUCUGGAAAUGUUUUGGGCACAAGCCAGGGAAGGAGGACAUAAGAAACUUCGGCAUGUUCUCAAGCAAUAUGAAAUAACCUUCUCCGAAUGGCUAGGGAAAAAGUGAACGGGAUAAAAAACCUAGACCUGGACAAGAAGUAUGUCAUAACAGUUGGUUGUCUUGUACAUUAUAUUUGUCUUUUCUGCGGAGUCAUAUCCAAGUAAUUUAAAUGUAAAAUUGUCCAUACACACCAAAGUACUGGAUUGCUAUAAACUCAAUCUAUUCAGACGAAAAAAGGUGUGUACUUGUUUAUUUGGAAUCUGUACUCAUCCAAGCGAGCUGAGGGACAAAAGAUUGGUUUCUGGCAAUUUAAACAUUAUGGUAAAUUGUUUCAAGGUGGCUUGGAGUUCUAAAUUUACUUUUCUACCAGUUUUAUAUGGACUGACAUUACAACAUUUUUUCUCUACACAAGUAUAGUUAGAUGCAUGCCAUGUGUACAUGAGGAAUUUCUCCAAAUCUUCAUAUGGACUAUGGGCAUGCAUCUGCACCCUCGUGUAAAAAAUUUUUACACUGUCAGUCAUAUAGGAUUAAUCUCUAUGCUCAUGUGCAUUCAGAUAUUGUCACUUCGAUGUAGAUUCAACUUAGUUCUUUAUACUUUUGUCUUCAUAUUGUUACCAAGGAAACUGGUUUAGGAACUGUGUAAAGGUUGAUUACUGUGGUUGUAAAUUAGGAAUAGAUGCCUAAUAAUAAUUGAUUUGUUUUUAAAGGCAAUGUUGAAUAAUUGAUUGUUUGAUGCCUGGAGACUGGAUUUCUUCCGCUGCUACUAAUUGAUGGUGAAAUAUGAUGAGUUGGGUUAAUUAAUUUGUGGUCUACUUCAUAUCUUUUAUUGUCUGCACAAUGUAGGAUAAUAUCCGUCUGCUACUUUAUGCUAUCUGUUCAUAUUUUGUCAUUUAACUAUUAACAUCGGUGGUUAUUGAUAUUUACUAUUUGCAUUUCAUUUGGAUGUAAAUUGUAUUUUUGUUAUCUUAAUAUCAUCUUACAACUACUCAAAUGUGAAGAAUAUAACUUUCAUUGCAUAUGAAGGUCUUGACUUACUGUUGGGUGUGAAGUCUGCUAUUUUGCUUGAAUCCUUAAUAUGUUCCCCUGUGUUGCAGUUAAUGGCAAUUUGAGUAGGAAGAAAGUAAUGUCUGAUGCCCUUCCUUGUGCAUUAGAGUACUUGAGUGCGCUCGAUGUUAUUCUUUAUAUUCACUAGAAAUUUGAUGUUUCAUUCUUUGCCAGUCUUCUCUCUCCUACUCCUCUCUCUCCCUCUCUCUCUCUCUCUCUCUCUUUAAUUUUUUUUUGGGGGGGGGAGGGUGGUGGGAGAAUGGAGUGUUAAAGGGGAACUGGGGGGGUUGUUCACCCUUUUUAGCUCCUCACAAGUUUUUCCUUUUAUGCCUGAUUUUUUCACAACAUGCUUGCUCUGACUACUAUCUUUUCCAGUGAUAAAGUUCCAACUGUCACAGAAGUCUCUUUUGGGAUUUUAUUGCUCGUUUACUAUUUGACAUUGUUAUCUCUCACCUUUUUGCUUAUCCAAAGGGUUUCUAUUGUAUUCUGUGACAUGCAAUAGUUACCACGUCCCUUACUGUCAUUGGCUUUCCUGCAGUCGUUUCUUGCAAUGCAGAGGCCCUUUCGCUAAGCGAAGGCAUCCGCUGGUGGAUUCUAGUGUUGUUGCUGAUAUUAGAAGAUGCCUUGAGGAAGGAGUUGAGUUUCAAGGGGAAUUGUUAAAUUUUAGGAAAGAUGGAUCUCCCUUGAUGAAUAGAUUGCGUAUGACACCAAUAUAUGGAGAUGAUGAGGCAAUAACACAUAUUAUUGGUAUACAGUUCUUUACAGAAGUAAAUCUUGAUCUGGGUCCACUUCCUGGAUCAGUAAGGGAGUCUGCAAGAUCAUGCGAUAAAUUCCGCUCUAGCCUUUCUACUUUUGGACCAGUUUCAGAUGGGAAAUACAAUAUAAAUCGAGGGCUGUGUGGGAUUUUUCAGUUGAGCGAUGAAGUUAUAUCUCUCAAAAUUCUUGCACGGUUAACUCCAAGAGAUAUUGCAUCUGUUGGCUCUGUCUGUAUGAGGUUUUAUGAGUUGACAAAGAAUGAAGAUCUUUGGCGAAGGGUCUGUCAAAAUGCAUGGGGCAGUGAAACAACUCGAUUGUUGGAGGCAGUACCUGGGGCUAAGCGACUUGGAUGGGGUAGAUUGGCAAGGGAACUUACCACUCUUGAAGCAGCAGCCUGGAGGAAACUAACUGUUAAAGGUGCAGUUGAACCUUCUCGUUGUAACUUCAGUGCAUGUGCAGUUGGGAACCGUGUGGUUCUUUUUGGUGGAGAAGGGGUUAACAUGCAACCUAUGAACGAUACUUUUGUCUUGGAUUUGAAUUCAAGCAGCCCCGAGUGGCAACAUGUGAAAGUAAGCUCUCCGCCUCCUGGACGCUGGGGUCACACGCUUUCUUGUGUGAAUGGAUCUCAUCUAGUUCUUUUUGGGGGCUGUGGGACUCAGGGUUUGCUUAAUGAUGUAUUUGUGUUGGAUUUGGACGCCAAGCAUCUGACAUGGCGUGAGAUAUCCAGUUUAGCUCCUCCCCUGCCAAGGUCUUGGCAUAGCUCCUGCACUCUUGAUGGGACCAAGUUGAUAGUGUCUGGUGGUUGUGCAGAUUCUGGAGUACUCCUGAGUGACACUUUUCUCCUUGAUCUCUCAAUGGAGAAGCCUAUCUGGCGAGAGAUACCAGUCACAUGGACUCCACCAUCUCGUUUGGGCCAUACUCUCUCUGUUUAUGGUGGGAGGAAAAUUUUGAUGUUUGGGGGUCUUGCCAAAAGUGGUCCUUUGCGUUUUAGAUCAAGUGAUGUGUUCACCAUGGAUUUGAGUGAGGACGAACCAUGUUGGAGAUGUGUAACAGGCAGUGGGAUGCCUGGUGCUGGAAAUCCUGGUGGAAUUGCUCCGCCUCCAAGACUUGAUCACGUUGCAGUGAGCCUCCCUGGGGGCAGAAUCUUGGUCUUUGGGGGUUCAGUUGCUGGUCUUCACUCAGCUUCCCAGCUCUAUAUUCUUGACCCUACAGAGGAAAAGCCUACAUGGAGGAUUCUGAAUGUACCUGGUAGACCACCUAGAUUUGCAUGGGGACAUAGUACCUGUGUUGUUGGAGGCACUAGGGCCAUAGUCCUUGGGGGUCAAACUGGGGAGGAGUGGAUGCUCGGUGAGCUUCAUGAGCUAUCAUUGGCGAGCAACAUUAACUGAUUUGGGAAAUAACGAGUGAAUAACUCAGCAGCUAUCAAACCGGAAUAUAGAAGGAGCUUUCCUAUCUCAAGAAGCAUGAUUCUUUGAGCAUCCACUUUGUAGAGGUUACUUUUCCCUUGUAGAAACACAGGCAUCUAUUGCUGUGGUACGUGAACUCUUCUGCUGUGCCCGUCUUUUGUGCAGUUUCGGUAUAUCACAAGGGAUAUUCAAAUCUGCUUGACCUGCGUUUAAUUUUGUGAGAUUUGUUUUGGUUGUUCUUCUGAAAUCAUUUCAGGUCAUCACCCUUUCUAGGCUAGAUAGAGCAAUAGGGUACUAUAUGUAGGCUUAGAGUAUCUUGUAUGCCCAUGUGUUGUUGUGAUUCAGGUUCUGUAAGUUGAAACCCAGGAAAGGAGCAUUUGAAAAAUGAUGAAAAGUGUAAACCGAAGUAUGGGGUUUGUCUAUGACAUUUGCUACACUGGGAUUUUUGCCCCUACCAUGUUUUAUAUAGCACAUUCAUGUCAUAACACCCUGAUGUAUUGGCUGUUGUGCCCAUGAACCGUUUCAUCUUUACUUUUGUGCUGUUUGAAUCAAAUUUUAACAAGAUAGUCAUAUUGCUUAUUGCCAGUGUAUGAAUUCAAUGAGCCGCUUAGUUAAUGUCCAUCAAACUUCGGGGUGGUUGGAUUUUCUAGUGUUCGGGUUAUUUUAGUUUGCGGAGUUAAAUGCCUUCUUAAACUAGUUUUCUUGUUCUUCUUUUACUAAGAGUUCGUAUCAUUUCUUUAUCAUGUAUUUUAUGUUGCAAAUUGUUAAGUGUUACUUUGUUCAUGAAUUUGUUCGAGUUGAAUAUCAGAAUUGAGAACUGAGAUAUAAUUGAGAUGCUGCUGGUGCUCCUCUUUGCCGUGGUUAGCCAAAUCUGGUGCCCAGAUCUUACAAAAGAAAAUUGUGGACAGAACAGACUUGAGUAGCUGCGUAGCCAGUGGAAUAGAAUCUUUUGGGUUUUCAUGAUCAGUACUUGCCUUUUGCACUGAUAUGAUAUACUGCCCUAAUAGCCCUGCAACGUGAAAAUUCUAGACGAAUUGCAUAUGCACUCAUUUCUGGACGAAUUCUGCUUACGGUGAGUUUCUAUAUUGGGCAGGAGUUUAGCUAAUCAAUUACGUAGGCUUUUGUUGAAAUUUAGGAAGCAUGUUGUAAUGUAUCUAUCCUAGCAACAUUUCUGCCAGAUCAAAAUCACCGAACUGCCUCUUUCAACUCAGCUGGAUGCGCCGGUUAUACUGUUAUAACAUCAGCGGAUAUGAUUACCAAAAAUCAGUUUUUGGCAAAACUGCAGCAGAGCCUAAAAAAGGAAGAAAACUGGAUUGAGAUUUCACCAUCAAGUAUUUUCCUUCUCAGAAGCGCAAAACAGGAUUUAAGAUCAACAGAGAUUGAUCUUCAUUGAUUGAAAUUAGGGGACAAAUGAAUUUGAAUGGAGGAGUCGAAAUCUAAGUUCGGUUUUAGUGGAAUUACAAUUCUUAAAAGAUUAGAAAAUUAUUACAUCCAAACAGCGGAUUUGAAAUCCAUGUCCUCCCGAAUUCUCCAACCCAAAACACAACCCACUGUCUGGAGUCUCUAGACAGGGAAUGCAACACUUUUUUUUUUUCUUUCAGUUUUGAAUAUUAAAUCUAGAGUUUUGAUGCAAUGCGUCGACACGUUUGUCAUCUGAAGAUUUAUGGGGGUUUGGUUUCCAUGCAGAGUUGAUAUUCCUUUGAUCUAAUAAUCAUCUUAUCUUUGACUGGAAGUUUUAAAGAUUGCUGUAUGUCAAUGUACUGCUUUAAAAGAUAUUCCCAUUUUCAGAACGAGCAGAAGAGUCUUUCAGGAAGUAUUUUUUUUUGGGGGGGAGGGGGGGAAGAAGAAUUACAAUGCUCAUUAAACACAUACAAAGGCUAAUAAACAGAUGAGUCACAAGGAUAAAUCACUAUAAAACCAAGAAAAAAUCAUAUACUUUACAAAUAGUACAAUAAAACUGAAAUAUAAGCCCUUUUACAACUGCAUUGAGAAGGAUUCAAAGCCGCCAAGGGCGUGCACUUUCCAUGUUCAUUGCUUUAUCAGUUGGUUAAAUCUGGGAUUUGCAUAUCAUGUUGCUUCUUAAAGAUACUUCCUUCUGUCUGUACGUUGCAUCCACUUUUGAUGGUCACUGAGGUAAACGUAGUUUGAGGUGAACGCAGAAACUACGUUAAAGUUGGAACCUUAAACCUUUCUUGUUACUGCUUAUAUUAUACGAGUGCAAAGUGUAAAGAAUUAAUCCAACCACACGGUCCAAUGGAUCAUGCUCGGCUCGGUUUGGGUCUUGAUUUCAAAAUAUGAAAUAUGCUGCUGCUGCCUGAAUUUCUGAAGUCAACCCCAGAUGGAGCUGAGCUUGGAUUAGGCCGUGCCCUGGAUCCAGAAAACCUGACCUAUCUAACAUAUAGAAAGAUGCGGUUCCAGUUGCAAAGAUAAGGAAACUUGGACAUCUCAAAAUUUUACGUAUAGCUCAUGACAAUAAAAAGAAUUUGGCCAUCCCAUGAUCAUCUUAUGCACAGUUCCUCAAAGCGGGAGGAUUGCAGGUUUUGUGUUUCUUACUUCCUUACAAUUCUUACCAGAGAACCAGCAAUGCUUAUGUAAACUAAGAAAAAAGGGAGAGAAAAUACUCUUCUUCAUCCCUUUGGACUACACAAUAUACAAAUAUAUAUACACAAAUGUAACCUAAUUUAGAUCCUAAAAUCAUGCUAAUCUAAAUCAAUCUACUACCUAAUUAAUAUAUGAUACUAUAAUCAUAUGAUACCUAAUUAAUAUAUGAUACUAUAAUCAUAUAAUACUAUAAUCAAAUCUUUCCUAAUAUUUACAAUAGCAAAUAUUUCCAUAAUAUCAUAUCACAUAUCUUCAACAACUUGAAAUGGAGAAAAUAACAGCUUGUUAAAGGAAAAGAACGAUGGAAUGGAACUAUGUAUAUUUAUCAAUUUCAAUAUUCUCAACAAAGAAAUCAAUUGUUCAAGAGGCGACAGGGUAACUCAUUGCGACAUACUCGAGACCUGUUUUUGAUGCAAUAAACAGCAGAAGUCAGUUAAGGUAGAAUUUGACCGCCCUGGGCACACCAUACCAAGAGUCUCACACUACUAACUUAAUCUUAACUGUUAAUCUGAACUCUGAAACACCAGACUCGCAAUAUAAUCCUUGGAAUAGUGCAGAAAGAUAUCAGGCAACUGCUAUAUUAAUUUUUUGUCAUGCUGCAUCCUCCCUGGAUCACCAGAACGAAAAAUUUCUUGAAAUCACGACUCCACAUUUUCCCUGACCCGUAAUGCAAGUCUAUGCAAGGACUGCUCAUCACAGGAAGCGUCCCUUUCCUUAAUAUUUGAAACAAAAUCCAUGGCUUCCUUGUACUUUUUUGCUUUACAAUAACCAUCUACUAUUGUCUUGUAUGUUAACUCAUUUGGUCUGCAGUUAUGCUGGAUCAUGUAGUCUAUUAAUUCAUCUACUUGUGAGAACAGUCCUCGUCCAGCAAAGCCAGCAACAAACGUGUUGUACGUAACAAUGCAGGGACGAAUUCCCCUGGAUGUCAUUUCUGAGAAAACUCUGAUUGCCUCCUGCAUGAGACCUUGCCUGCAGAACCCCUUGAUGACAGUAUUAUAGGAAACAAGAUCAGGUUCUCCACCACUUCUUUGCAGUCCAUUGAGGAUUUCUUCAGCUUUCCAGCAAUCACCUGCUCUAGCAUACAUAUCCAUCAAGCUAUUGUAAGUAAUGAGAUCUGGCUGCAAUCCACUCUCACAGAUCAAGUGCAGCAUCUCAUGGGCACGAUCCAACAUUUUGUUCCUGGAAAAAACGGAAAGCAUUGAGUUGAACAUAACUAAGUCAGGAUUAUAUCCAUGGUUCUUGAAUUCUUGGAAUGCUCUCUCCAUACCCAUGAGAGACCUACACUUGAAAUUUGCAAGAACAAGGGUCCUCAAAAGCAUCCAACUGGGAUAGAUGCGGCCAUCGUAGAUAUCUUUUGCAAUCUUUUCUAUGCCCCUCACAUUGCCACCCUUUGAGUAGCAAUUAAGCAACAAGGAGUGUGAUGUUUCACUGGGCUUGAAGCCCUUAUUCUUCAUGUCCAAAAUUAUCUUUUCUGCUGCUCUCCAAUCACCUCUACGGGCCAGAGCAUUUAGAAGUGCAUUAUAAGUUGUAACACAUGGCAUAAAGCCUGCUUUCAUCAUCUCAUCAUACAUCGUCGAAGCAUCAACUCGUGAACCACAUCGACCGUAUGCACUAAUUAAGGUAUUGAAUGUGUCUCUAUCAGGCUCAAAGCCACAAUUCUUCAUCUCUUCGAAAACACGAUUAACAUAUUUAUGCAUUCCUUUACUACCACACAUGGCAAGCAUUGUAUUCCAAGUCACACGAUUGGGGGCACAACCAUUUAUUUUCAUAUCACAGACAAUUUCCAUCAUCUCCUCCAAUCGUGACUUCUUCCCUAGCAUCCCAAGGAUAGCAUUAUAAGUGCACACAUUAGGGACACAACCCGCUUUCUUCAUAUGUUUGAACCAAGUAAAUGCCUUGUCCUCCUUCCCAGCUUUGCCAUAGGCAUCUAUCACUGUAGUGUAAGUCACAGCAUUUGGCAUUAUCCCCUUUUCCGUCAUUGUACCAAUUAAAGCAGCUGCUUCUUCAUGGAAUCCAGCCCUCACAUAUGUUGCCACAAGUUCAUUGUAAGUUACCGAGUCUGGAAGACAUUGAUUUUCCUCCAUCUCUUUCAAAACAUUCAAAGCCUCCGGAAGAACCCCUGCCUUCCCAAACACUUGGAGAAGUGAAUUGUAACUAACUGUUCCAGGAACAAAUCCUCGUUUCUUCAGUUCAUCGAAAAACCCCUUUGCUUCCUCCAACAACCCUUCACGGCCACAUGCUGAUAUCACAGUGCUGCAAGUGAACUCAUCAAACUGAAGCCCUUCGCUCCUCAUUUCUUCAAGAAGGCCAACAAUUUCAUUCCAAGACCGGCCCUUUUUACCGUAAACAUCCAACAUCACAUUGUAGGUAACUAAAGUUGGAUAUAAGCCCUUUUCUUUCAUGUAUCCAAACAAUGCUAUAGCCUUAUCGUACUUUUCAGUACGAGAAUAUGCAUGAAGAAUUGUAGUACAUGCUCGGACAUCCAACAAAUACUCCUCAACGGGAAGUAAAUCAAACAGUUUUGAGGUGACCAAGUAUUGAGACUCCCUCCCAAGAAUCUUAACCAUUAAUUCAAUAACUUGGUUGUCCAACUUGUCCUUAGUAUCAUUCAUGACAAGCCAUUCAAACAAAAUUAUAGCUUUUUCCCAAUUGCCUAGAACAUCUAAACCUUUCAACAAACUCAUCAAAUCAACUUCCAAUAACUGAAACUUGACAGAAUCAAGGUAUUUACUCAAACUAGAAACGGGGUAUUCAAGAAUUGAAUUAAGCAUCAACUUACAGUCCAGGGGGAGAAAAUCAAGGGCCCCAUUACCACUGCCUGUCUGAAAAGCAUGCUCUUCCCUGUAUCUCUCAAUUCUUGGGAUAGCAAUUGAAUUGGCCAAACGGGUUUCUUCAAAUUCUCCAUUUUCUGAAGAAAUGAGAGCUGAAGUGAAGUGGGUUCCAUUGCUUUUGGCUGAUUUGAUGAUAGGUGGCUUAUUGUUGGAGAUAUGGAGAAGGUGUUGGAGGAGAGAAUCAAUAGGAAAAGAAGAUGAACAAGCAGUCUUUGGUUGCUGCUGUUGCUGCGGCAGCAAUUGUUGAUGUAAAGGAGGAAGGAGAGUUGAAGUAUUGAAUUUCAAGCGUUGGUUAGGCGGUUGAAUUGUUGGUUUUGUUUGUUGGAUUGGAAAUCCAGGCCUAUUGGGAAAAAGGGUCCCUUCCAUUGCAGAGAACUGGAAGGAAAAAGAGCUACGGACAGUGGAGACUAGGUGUGAGAAGGCUUUGUGAAAUGAGAAGGGAUGAUGGUGGUGGGGUUAUGGUUGCUUUGAAGUUUUUGAAGUGGUGGAAGAAUGUCAGAGGAACUUGGUAUUGUUAUCUGUUUGACGUCUUGACUUACUAAUGCCAUCUCCCCAUUUCUUGUCUGCAGAAAUUGAAACUCCAGCCAGAAAUACUUGAGUAAGUUACUCUAGAUUUUUAUUUUUUAUUUUUUGACAAUUUAUUAUUCACACUCGUGAUUCUUUUUAAUUUUUUUAAAUUUAUUUGAGUUCUUUUAAACUCAAGCUCAAUCUCGAUUAAAAUCUAACUUGAAUUCAAGGUUGAACUCAAGUUUUACAUUCAGAACUCCUCGAAUUGGAAUCUGAUUCGAUUAGGCAAAAUUUGAUUCAAUUCGGCUUUUCUAGUUGCAAAUGGACAAUAGUUGGAAGAAAUCAAGUACCUUUUUUUUUAAAGAAAAGUCAAGUAUUAUUGUUAAUUUCAGGCAAUUGAUGCCACCAAAUAAUUAUCCUUUUGAGCACUUUUUUUUUAAAAAAAAAAUUUGGACAUAUUUUUAGGUAUACAGCAUGUCCCACUGCCACUACAAGAAGCUCCGUAAAAGAGGUUUAAUCGGCUCUGGAGAUUCCAUUCCGGAGCAAAGUGACUCAUGCUUGUGCAUUGUUUGAUGUCCAUUUAACAAUCUGGGAUUUUUCUGUCAGUAUUGAAUAUUGAUGAGAAACCAGCCCACGACUUGCAGCCUCGAAUUAACGGUCCAAACACAGGCUCUUAAUCUCUAAUGAUGUUAGAAUAUUUUUCCCCUUUGUUUGUUUGUCCAGCAAGAGUUGGGCUGGAUCCUAUGGGCGAACGGGACUGCUACGAGUAGUUCUGCUAGUGGAUCAGCAUUCGCGGCACAAUCCUUCUAUAUGCUUCAUGGCAAGAUCCACAUUUAGCAAGAAGCCCAAUGUAAUUUCCUUCUAAUGUUGGUAGUUAUAAAAUUUUAAUAUUUAUGUUGUCAAAUCCAAGAAAACCGUCCAAUAGCAACUUGCAUCAUCCAAGAGAAGCUCAUUUCAGGUCAUCAAAGCAGGGUCAAGGGUUCAAGGUUGCUCGUGCAACUGUUCCUAAAGGUUUUGUGCAUUUUGCACACGGCGUAACUCUUUUUGCAUAUGGUAUAACUUAGUUUUAACGUGUAAUUCUAAAACAAAAUUUUGUGAGUCCCACACAUGUUAAAAACAAGGUACAAAAGAAGAUCUGAACCGUAUAAUUUUUUUUAAUCAAAUCUUAGCCAUGAACUGUCAGGACGGUUGCUUCCUCUUCCUCAACCGUUCCUGCCCCUCUUCCUCAAGGUGGGAGGUCAAAGGUUCAAUCCUUGCUUCCCACCAGCCACUAUGUGUGGCUUCCCCCUUCCCUUCCCUUUAGAUUAAACUAAAAUAGGUUAUACAAAUUGUUAUCGUUGCUGGCAAAAAAAGAAAAAAAAAACAGGACAACAAACUAAAAUCAAUGACCCCAACCAAGGCUCUCGGCUUGGCUUCAGCAUAUGAGUUGGCUUUUCGGGGGGUUUUAGUAUACCAAUUGACCCAAAAUUGAUUUUAGAUGAAAGGCCUCAAAACUCCAAAGUUACGUAUGUACACAUAUAUGCCUUAAAUCCUUCAAAGUGAUGGCAACAGUUUUGGAAUCUUGACCAAUUCGUAGAUAAGGAUCCUUUCCUUGUAUACAUUAAUACAUACCUCCUUCCAUUGGUCAAGGAGUCCUUUGAAGCAAAACACGCAACAACCAAGUUCAUUGUCCCAGUUGAUCAAUAACCAUCAUCUUUAUCGUUAAGUACUAUGAAAGAAAAGACCCGUAUCUACCUUUUUCCUUUUUCCUUUCUUUCUAUCAACUACUUAAGACAAUUUCCAAUUUCUGAACUAAAACGAACUAGAUGACAUCCAACUUCCAAUAGCUCGGCCAACCUCUCAAGUCUGUAUAAAUUUGUUCCUUUAUUGCAAGUUUUUUACUUUCUGGUUGAGCGUGUCGGUGGCAGCUCUCGUCGGCUUUGUUUAUCAGAGACAGAUUUACAUUCUUGUUCUUUCUUUUUCUCAAUGGGCAAAGAAUCGGCUCCUCUGGGGAGACUCUUUAUCCCUUUUAUGGUCGCUAUCGCUAAUCAAAAUUUAUUGAUGAAGUUAUUUAAGUUCACAAAACGUUGCUAUUUAUGUAAUUAGUUUGGUAAAAGAAGAUCAUGCACCUAUGGUCUAGUGAACUGGUGAGGCUCUGCCAGAAGGUAGUUAUGGCAGCCAUAUUUGGAGCUAAUUUUCAAUCUUGCCCAGCCUGAAGAAGCAAAUGAACUGCUUCCCUGCUAACUCAAGUACAUCCAACUUAGCGUGAAAAAUUGAAUGUCUAAUAUAUCCCUAUUCUUGAAAAUUUAUAGCAACUCCAUCUAGAAAUUUAAAGUUUUACUUUUGGCUAGAUGUGAAUGUGAUUUUGCUGCAUACAUAUGUAGCCGCAUUUCAUAACAAGUGUGUACGUUAGAAGUUGGACCACUGCCAAAUCUAGUUUCUUUCGAAUGUGUGUUUUUUUGGUAGUAAUCUAAAAUUAUCGUGUAGUUGUUUUAGAACAAAAAAAAAUAUUAGUAUUCGUGUAUAAUACUUUUUUUGUCCCUUUUCUCAUCACCCGUCGUCCAUCACUAUACCUACCUCCACCAUGGGUAUAUAUUUAAUUUUUUGUACUUUUUUUAAAAAUUUUAAAUAUUCUAGAGUAUAAAUGCAGAUAGUAUUUUAGAUGAAUUUUAUUUAAAAUAAAUAUGGAAAAAACCAGCUAUCCAAAUUUCGACAAAUAUUUUUAUACAAAGACAUUUUUCCGCAGCGGAAUCACACACACAAUUAGAUUAGAAACACUCGGAAGUUACGCCCGUUAAACCUAAGCAGACCCCACAGAGAACCCACGUCCAGCCAAUUGGUGACAGGACGAGACCUCCGUGGAACUUAAGUCCAGGUUGAAGAACCCACACACAAGCAAUGUGGGACAAAGGCUAUCAGUCCUCCUUUACCAUUUUUCCCCGCUUUCUGGGGCUUUUUGGGUGUGCGGGGAAGCAAGGUUGGAGCUACUCCUUGUAUGGUGGUUUAACUUUAAUAUGGAUGGUUAUAUAGUGGAGAGUGUACGGCUGUCUCCAGGAAGAGUAAAGCAAGGGUUUGGAAGGAUGUGGUGUAGAAUUGGCCACCGCAUAAGCAUUAAUGGGGAGGGCCAGACGAUGCUGUGUCUUUGAAGUACAAUAGUAUCGGUUUCUUUCCGGUUAGAGAGUGAGGGAGGUGUCAUCCAUGGGACCCGUGAAUGCUUAGUGGUCUGUUGAGGUGGCAACAGAUAAUUUAAAUAAUUCAAAUGAAUCAGCACGAAGGACUGUUUUGCAAACUAAAGUACAAAUACCGUUGGACUCGAACAAAUUGCUUUGGAGGACAAUGGGUAGGGACAUUUGUGCAAGGUUUGCGUCUAGCGGGAAAUAAAAAAUGCACAGUAGCUGGCCAUGUUUGUCAGUAAGUCAUUUAAAAACUGAAUGCAUCUCCAGGCUCCAAGUCUUAAACUGUACCUUUGCCGCUGCGAAAAGGGGAAGAAAUAGCUUAGCAGCUUGGCGGGGAGCUGUGGAGAAUUAAGUCCAGAACGGAUUCGAAGAAGAUAGAGUGGGAAACGGAAUUAGCACUGGUGUCGACGGCGUGCAAGGUAAUAUGAUAUUGUAAUAGGAAAUUGUAAGGAGAUUGGCAUAGGUCAAUCGUGGCGAAAAUGAUUGUAUAUGACGGUCAAGAUCGGAGUAUAAUAACUAUGGAAUGUUAGAUGGGUAAUAAGCGUUAGUGUCAAAAAUUCGUAUUUGUAGUAAAAUCGGGAUAUGGGAAACAGUUUUAUUAGGGGGAAAUUGCAGGCCAUCUGUUUAUAGUUGGCAUGUGUGUAGAAAUCAUUAGUGUAGCCAAUCAAUGUGGGAUGUAAAUGAAAUUCAUUGCAUAAUGAAGAGGAAAAUAAAUGGGGCAUAAACUAAAUUAGACAGAAAUUUAAUGUAGUGGUACAUAUGUGGAGAGGAGUUAUGAACAUGCGAAUAAAGGGGAAAAAUUGUAUGUUAUGAUUUAAAUUGUGAAAAAGGGCAAUAAAUGAAAGAGAAGGAAAAAAUAUCAGUUGAAUAGGUAAAGGCAAUUGAGAUAGAAAGUGAGUGGGUAAAUUUUGGACAACAAAGGAUGGGCUAGUCAAUGCAAUACUUAGUGUGAAUGGCAGGUGAGGAUAAUGAAAACAUAUGGACAAAGAUACAGACAUAGGAAACAGACUUAUGAGUGGUAUGAUGGUGGGUUUUAAAGGCAUUGUUUGGGCGGCUGCCAUUUGAAGUCAAGGGUAAUUCGUAAAAUACCAACAUCGGAGAGCAAAGAGGUGUAAAAGUUAUAAAAGUACUUCAUUCCUUUUUUUGUGUUGCAGUUAGUUUUACUUUUGAUUAAAACAAAAAAUUCAGACGUUAUGUAUAUAUGUUUGAGUUGUCUUGUAGCUUAACGAAUGAGAUUAUUGAAUAAAUGGUGCGAAAUUAUGACACUGUAAUUGUAAUUGUUUAGGAAUAGAAUGGAAAGUUGGGAAGAUGAGAUUGGCAGAAGGCAUCUUGUUGAGCUUGACGAGGAGAUGGACGAGGAAUCAGAUGAUUGUGAGUAUGUAAACCCAAGUAGAAUAGAGGCAGAAGAUGAUGUGGAAGAAGAACCCAAUAAAGAAGGGAACGAUGAAGAAGUGUAUGAGGUUGUUCAUAACAUGAGCCACUAUGAUGUGAUGACAAUGCAGUUUGAAACUGUCAAAGAUGCAGAGUGUUUCUAUUUGAACUACGGCAAAGCGAUCGGGUUUGGGAUUAGAAGGGGUUACAAGAAAAAACAUCCAGACGGCUAUGUAAGAUACAGGGCCUGGUUGUGCAACCGUGAGGGCAAGAGAGAUGACAAGCAUAUUGAGCGGCAGGAUCGACAGAGAGAGCCAAAGGCUAUGACUCGGGUAAACUGCAAAGCAUGUUUAAAGAUCAGGUAUGAUUUGAAAAUAAAGAAAUAUGUCGUGUCAGGAUUCAUAAGUGAGCAUACGCAUAGACUUGCAAGCCCUGAGAGUGUCGCUUUCAUGAGAUCCCAUCGUCGUGUCUCUGAUGGUGCUUAUGCCCAGGCCCACACACUGAGAAGGAUUGGUGUGGGUGCAAGUCAAAUAGUUAAGCUGUUUGCAUUGCAAGCUGGUAGGUAUGGGAACAUAGGAUUUACGCCUAAAGACCUUUACAAUAAGCUACAUAGCAAGCGGAUGGAGGAGAUUGCCGGAGGUGAUGCUGAAGCUGCACUUGCAUACAUGGCAGGUAAGAAUGACGGUGACCUGAAUUUUUAUUUCAAAUAUCAGUUGAAUGACGAAGGUCGGUUGAUUAGGCUAUUCUGGGCUGAUUCACGUAGUCGUGAUGACUACCGGUGCUUUGGCGAUGUGUUAGUUUUUGAUAGCACGUAUAAUACAAAUGGAUACGACUUUCCACUUGUGGUUUUCUGUGGAGUGAACAAUCACUAUUCGACGUGCAUUUUUGGAUGUGCUUUACUGGUUGGAGAGGGAGACGAUGCCUAUGAAUGGGCUAUAACGACAUUUUUAGAGGGUAUGAAUGACAAGAAACCAUGCUCCGUUGUAACUGAUGGGGAUAAAUCAAUGAGAAAGGCAAUUCAAAAGUUGCUGCCUAACGCCCGACAUAGGUUGUGUAGUUGGCACUUGGAGUGUAAUGCUAACACAAACGUUAAGGACAAGGCAUUUCUUGAUGCAUUUAAAGGAUGCAUGUUCAUGAAUUGCACGCCUGACCAGUUCGAGUUGAAAUGGAUAGAGAUGGUGAAAAAAUUCGACUUGACCUCCAAUGCUUGGGUUCAGAAAAUGCAUCGAAGAAAAGAAUUGUGGGCAAUGGCAUACCUGCGGGGCAGUUUCUUUGCUGGGAUGCGGAGCACCCAAAGGUGUGAAAAAAUGAACCAUGUAUUGAAGAUGUAUUUGACACCAAAAUUGAAAUUGUAUGAGCACAUUCGAUCAUUCGAAAUUUCCAUUGCGUGGCUGAGACAUGAGGAGAGUAGAAAUAGAAGUGAAACAGAGCACACAGAUUUACUUCCAGCAACGAAAAUGCACUCCCUUGAGAGGCAUGCAGCUGAAUUAUACACGAGAAAGACAUUUUUAAUGGUUAGGGAAGAAAUGAAAAUGCAAGGCAUGUACUGUAGGUAUAAUGGGAUUGACGAUGGGGUCCAAUGUAUCCAUUUUCUUGAACACUCUUACUUGAAGAUUGAGUAUAGAGUUCAAUACAACAGGUUUACCGGGGAGAUGAGAUGCUCAUGCUUGAAAAUGGAAACCCAGGGCCUACCAUGUUGUCAUAUGUUUCGAAUAAUGCUGUUUGAACACUUGGAUAAGAUUCCAGAAAAUUGUAUAUUAAAGAGAUGGACCCGUAAGGCGAAGGAGUGUUUGAUGUUAGAGGAUGAUACUUCAAAUGGUAGCAUAAGGUUGACUGAGAUGGCCAGGUACGCGAAACUUAUUUCUGGAUGCAAUAACUUGUGCUUUCAUGCGGCAAAAACAUUGGAGGGAUUCCGACGCGUAGAGGAUAUGAUUACAACUGAGACAGUCCACGUGAAAGAAGUGCAAUUGAGAGCUGAAAAACUUCCCAUUCAAUCGAUGACUCCCACUGUGUCAAAAAAAUUUGGAGUCCUUGACCCACCUUCUGAUAGGCAGGCAAGAGGUGCAGUAGCAAAGGGAAAACGCAGACAGCAGGAGCAUAGGAUGUGCGGCAACUGCAGGUUAUAUCUAUUGCCAUGACUGAGAUGAUUGAAGUAUGAGGGGUAUAAGUUGUUAUGGAUGCUUGAUGAUUUUUAGGGAUUUUUUAUAGUAUUGCGUUACUUAUGAAGUUUCAUCUAACCCAAAUGUAACAGUUAUUUGGAAUUGCAUGAAUCAGGGCAAGGGAUGGACACAAUAGGAGGUCAUGCAAGAUGCCAAGGCAGCCGGCAGUCUUGCACCCAACAGAGCCUUUUCUUCAAGCAGGACUUAACAGCGAUGAAGAUGGUAAUCAUGGGUCACAAUUUAGAUCUGAAGAGGCGCUGAAUCUUAGCUCACAUAGGUGCGAACAGCAAGCACACAGAUUGACGAUGAUGACUGCUGGAUGGCCUAACCAAAAUAAUGUAUAACUCUAACCCUUGUCAUGUAACAUAGGUUGCACUCAUUAUUGAUUUAAAUCUUUUUUUUUUCAAGAAUGGAUGGGGCACCGCACCCAGCAGCAGCGUGGGGAUCAUCAGAAAACAGGAAAGCAGUAGUCUUUGUAGUACUCAAGUAUGUGUUGAUAAGUACCCAAUUGUACCAAAUGAUUUUAAUUUUUUUUACAACAGCAAAACUGACUUGGGGGCACUUCACGAUGGACAUUCCAGGAAUGGCAUGGAUCCUCAAGCUCAUAUGGACGUGACCCAUUGGUGGGAAUGGACUUCGAUGUAGCCGAAUGGUGAUCUGGUUCAACUAUUACUAUAUUAAGCUAAGGGUUUAGUUGGGUUCGAUAUAGUCAUAGUAGGAGUUUGUUUUGUUUGAUGCUUUGGCGGCAAUCGAUUAGGAGUGGCGGGAGUUGUACUUGAAACCUAACUCCUUAGUGAUUGUGUCAUGUGGUUUCAUGGAAACAUUAGAUUUAGCCAGAGGUAUGAAAGGCAGAUGUUGAAAUUGCUUAAAAAUUCAUCCCAUGACUUUAGGAUGGAGUUAUCCAUAAAUAUGUGCAUUUGUCUUGUUUUUUUUUUCUUUUCUUGGUUUGGAAAAACAAGUUUACCAAUUGCUGAAGUGUAAUCGUAAAUAGUAGGACUAGACUUUGAACUAGUAGUAGGACACAGCCGAAGUGAUGACCAGCCAAAUGCAUGCAUGAUUACGAUGUGCUGCCGAACGUAACAUCUUGAUCUCCAAUUUAUUGGCAUUUCACAUAUAAUGAAUUUAGGGAUAAUUUCAGAAACCUCCCCUGAAGUUUCUGACAAUUUCACUGACCUCCCCUGAGGUUUCCACAAUUACACUAACCUCCCUUGAGGUUUCUGAUUUUGUAACAAAAUCAGCCCAUGACCACUAAAGUAAACAUAAAAAAGUUUUUUCAGGAAAGAGAGGAAAUUUUGUUCCCAUAAAUGCCCUUAAGGUAGGUGUACAAGUUAUAUUAGUGAAUUAAUGAAAACUAAUAAAAAUCAGAAAUAAAUAAGAAAAAGUGAGGGGAUGGGUAUGGGAAUCAUAAAAUUUUACUUAUGGAUAUAAACAAUUGGGUAACGCAACCGACCCAAUUAACCCAUCUACCACCACUCAGGUCAUUUCACAAAUACAUUCAUCAGACAAAGCUUUCCUCUUGUCACAAAAAUUCAAAGCAAUGUGGUACAUGUUCACAAGCAAGCAGGUUUAAAUCCCGCCUGCAUAAUAACGUUGAAACCCGCAAGCAGGAUUCUGUGUUUUUUCUAUUUCAAGGUUAGCUCGCAUGCGGGUUAAUGUUAUAUUUGAGCGCGAGAAGAAAAAAUUGGUAAUUAGGUUCUUUGGGCAUUAUAACUAAAUAUUUAAAUUAAUGGCAGUUUUAUUACUCCAAUAUUAUUGUAUUAUCAUUAUUAUGAUUAUUGUAUUAUUUCUUAUGCAAAUAUAACAUUUAAUUAUUUAAAUUUGAUUUUAUUUUUACAAUUUAUAAAAUUUUUAUCACUUAUAUAAUAUUUUUAAAACCCUAAUACAUCUAAAUUUGAUUUUAUUUUUCAAAUUUAUAAGAUUUUUAUUUAAAAAAAUGGGAUACGGAUAAGAUAUCCGGUUGGUUCGAUUUGCAUAGGUGCAUAUGAGAAUAUCCGAAUACUCUUUAAACCCGCAUGCGGGUUUAAGGAAAUUAUGGCAACUCUCUGACACACUAGUUACCCGUCCAACUUGUGUGUAUUAAAAUAUAUUUAAAUAUUAUAUUUCAUAUUUUUGUUAUUUAGAGUUUAACAAAACAUUAAUAUUGGGUAGAUUUGAGGGAUAUGCAUAAUUUUGCAUAUUUGUAGGAAUAUUAGAAAAUGGAAUAUAAUUUUGCAUAAUUUUGCAUAAUUGAGGGAUAUGCAUAAUCUGCAAUAUUUCCUUAAUCCCUCAAAUCUACCCAAUAUUAAUGUUUUGUUAAACUCUAAAUAACAAAAAUAUGAAAUAUAAUAUUUAAAUAUAUUUUAAUACACACAAGUUGGACGGGUAACUAGUGUGUCAGAGAGUUGCCAUAAUUUCCUUAAACCCGCAUGCGGGUUUAAAGAGUAUUCGGAUAUUCUCAUAUGCACCUAUGCAUAUCGAACCAACCGGAUAUCUUAUCCGUAUCCCAUUUUUUUAAAUAAAAAUCUUAUAAAUUUGAAAAAUAAAAUCAAAUUUAGAUGUAUUAGGGUUUUAAAAAUAUUAUAUAAGUGAUAAAAAUUUUAUAAAUUGUAAAAAUAAAAUCAAAUUUAAAUAAUUAAAUGUUAUAUUUGCAUAAGAAAUAAUACAAUAAUCAUAAUAAUGAUAAUACAAUAAUAUUGGUGUAAUAAAACUGACAUUAAUUUAAAUAUUUACUUAUAAUGCCCAAAGAACCUAAUUACCAAUUUUUUCUUCUCGCGCUCAAAUAUAACAUUAACCCGCAUGCGAGCUAACCUUGAAAUAGAAAAAACACAGAAUCCUGCUUGCGGGUUUCAACGUUAUUAUGCAGGCGGGAUUUAAACCUGCUUGCUUGUGAACAUGUACCACAUUGCUUUGAAUUUUUGUGACAAGAGGAAAGCUUUGUCUGAUGAAUGUAUUUGUGAAAUGACCUGAGUGGUGGUAGAUGGGUUAAUUGGGUCGGUUGCGUUACCCAAUUGUUCGAAAUUGAUUUUAUUAGAAAUUACAGUGGUAAAUUAGUAAAUUGAAAUUAAGAUUCGGGUCUUUUGUGGGUCUUUUGUGGCAUUUUUUUGAGUGAGGUUUUGCAGAGGUUUGGUGCUUGGGACGAGUAUGAGAGAAAUGCUUGGGACGAUUGCUCAGACUACUCAGAUUGCCGCAAUAUAUAAGUAUAGAGCACUAGCUUGAUGGUUAUCUGCUCUUCAAAGUAUGUGUUGGAACAACUAGGCGUCUGCUUGCUGAUUGUAUGAUGCAUUGUUUGUCUUAUGAACUAUACAUUUCUAGUUAAGUCCAGUACCGCCUGUAUGUUUGUCUUGUAAUUAAAAAAAAGUGAAUAAAUUGAACGAGAGUUUGCUAAACAUGUUGAUCAGGUGCUUGCAAAAAAAAUGUAUUUUGAACGUUAAUAUAUAUUAAUAAAUGCGUUCAUUUCGCACCAACAGAGUUAAUAUCCCUAUCUGUGCACAAUCUAUUUUCCACUUACAAUUCCCAAAACUCUAAAUUGCAAUUGGUCAGCACAUUAUGUUUGAUGGUCCAUUUUUUGACCUCAUAAAUAUCAGUCGUCUCUCAACAUAUGCAUUCAUUGGGACAAUAAGCUAGUUAAUAUUUGGCCCAUGGCUACUCCAAACAGAUACAAGAUAGUCCGACAAAAAAUAACAUGCUUGCUAAAAGUCCUUCAAGAGUCUCCCCAUGCGCCUUCAUCUCAAAACCACCCCAAGAAGGAAAAAAAAUCCCCAAAAUUCAUCCUUUCCUGUUCCAACAUGACAAACCCCAUAAACAAAAACCCAAAAAGUCUAGACACAUCGAUUCAUUCCACAUCAAGUGAACUGGAUGUGUUCCAGCCCUGGUACCCCCAUUACAACGGUGUUUCUCACGGUAUUUUCUGUUGAAACAAAUAGCUCCACGGCAAGACGCAUCCGAUCUGUCUGCGAAUUGAACUGGAAAAAGGAAGAGGAAGAAGUCAGCCAAGGACUGACACAGACAGGUACAAUAGUAGCAUGGGAAGACUGCCAAACCUGAAAAAAAUGCCUUCCUGCAUCUCCUGGAUAUUUUCCAUAUAUUUCAUGACAUACAUACCACAAUCAAAACUGUACUAUAGCAAAACGAUUUAGUAAACAUUGGUAAAAUAUCAUAGAGGGUGUAUUUGUUACGCCCUUAUAUUGUGUAGAUUUAAGAAUGCAGAAGUGAAUGAAAUGAGAGACUAAACUGGUCAUGUUGCUUGGGGCACCAACUAGGCGUCUGAAAAGCAAAGUUAGUGAUGUCUAUGGUGUAUGCACUUCCAAACCCAUGCACUAAGGCACUGUGAAUCCUUCGGCGCUGUGAGGUGAACAUUCUAAAAUAGUCAGAGCGUAGAGAGUAAAUUUGGACAGAUGGUUACUUGUGGCAGUGCAUAGCCUUACCACACAGUUUGCUAAUGCCUCCCUGCUAGCGGUGGCAUAUUCAGCUGGUUUGGAGUCAUAGAUGAAGCAUUUCUUGCAUUCAAAGUCAAUGAUGAACAGGUACCAAUGCUCCCCAUGAUAAUUCAGGGGCACACAUAUCUACAGUGUAGCAAUAACACAUGAGUACACUUCCUAAAUAUGAAAUUGCAACGUCGGUAUGUAAGAAAUAGAAAAUAAACAUACACAUACAACCUACCUGCUCACAUUUUUUUAUGUCCCCUCCAAAACUUGCUUCCGUCAAGUAGUCAGAAUAUAGUCUGUGAGCAGAGAGGUUCCUCUGUAGAACAAGUUGCUGCACAAUAUCCAAACAGGGCGUUGAUAUCAUUCAUUGACUCCAAAAAAAUGGCCUACCAAGUGCAAAAGCAACAUUAAUCCUACCUGAACAAUGGCUGGAAGGUACCAAAUGGUUGCAGCUGUACUUAAUCCCAGGAUUCUUCUUCUUCGUAGUGUCAGAAAAGCAGAGUAGCAAUCUAUAACCUACUUGAAAAACAAUUGAAAUUUAGGCGAGGUUUGGUUAUUUAAUACACGUAGCGACGCCGGCCUCUAGUACAGUACCUCAGUGUCCAACCAAAUGCCGGGGCGCAGUCGGAGAAUGUUACUGCGGCAUGCAGUGUGUCCAAGCAAUCUAACGAGAGUUGUACUGUAACAAAGCAGGUAGCAAAUAUUAAACGGAAAUCCUAAUUAAUAAAAUUGUACACUCACAGUGACGUGCACUGACUUGGAAGGCAAUUGGUCGUCAAAAAGAAAGUUAACGAUCCUGCCAAAUAGGUGCACCGGCAAGGAGUCGCAUUGCAUACGUUUUACAUACUGCACACAAGUGGGAUCAAUGAACGAGCAUUACAACUAUGGUUAAUGAAACAGUAUACAUACGUGAACAUAAUAAAAAGUACCACCACUUACUGCGAUGAGCACAGGGGAUAUAUCUCCAUUACGGAGAUCAGGAGAUGUAAACAAGCGCUGCCGUACCUACAAAAGGGAGCCAUGGUCACAUUUAUACACCUGGAGUGCACAGAUGAACUUAAAACAAUGAGAGCUUGAAGGGGAAAAAUUUGAAACUAAGUAAAAAUACUGUUUGAUUUUUCAGAUUGCCGCAACCAUUCGCAGCAACCUGCUUCCUCUCGCGAGUACAACUCUUCUUCGCAUGUUUUCGAACAGGUGCUAGUGAUUUGUUGUGAACCCCAGAAGGUCUACCACGUCCUUGUCUGAAAACAAUAAGGUUGCGUGGGCCUGUUGAUCCAGUUUCUGACUCAUAUUUUGGUGAAGUAUCACGACCACCACAGGUGUAUCUAAAUUGAUCUGCCACUGGUCGAAUAGGUGGAGAUACCCUCCUCGGCUGUCUCAUGCAAGCAGAGAUGUCUUUAGGAGGUGAGGUAACGUCAUUGGAUGUACUUUUUUCCCCAUCAUAUGCACCAACUGAUUGGGUAUAUCGGGCAGUAGGUGAAUGGUUGUUCAGGUGGUUUUCAACAUGCAUGCGGUUAAGAAUAUUCACCCCCUGAGGACUGGCCAAAUACGUUGCCAAGGCAAUACUCAUUGUCUGUUUCGUGGCAUUACCCAAGCCGUAGCCGCUGUCUUCUUCAUCUACUAGUUUGUGGCAUGCCCAAGCUCGUUUGUCGGUGCUUGGUUUCGUACUAGAUUCAGGCACCAUUGCACGUUUUAGCAUUUCAAAUACAUGCGCCAUGGAACGCAUGGCACCAUUAACUUGCCUCAAUGACUGCUGCAUCUCCGUAUUCCGAUCCUCUACUUCAGACAUCCUCCUAUACAAGGAUUCAGCAUCUGAUGCACAGAUUCCAUUCAGUCUGUCGUAUCCAUUACCAUGGACAACUACAUUGACCUACGAAACAUAAUAACGAGUGGGAAGGACACAAUCAACCAACUUGACAUGUAUUAUAAACCAUUACAUACUCCUUAUACAACAAAUUCUUAAAUUCCAACCUUGGCUCCAGCAAACAGUCCGCUUCUCUUUAAGGCAAACACACGUUCUUCGACUUUUGCAUGAUCCCACCAUCCUAAUCGUGGGAAAAAUCGAUCGUUAAGUGGUUGGUACCGCUCAUGGGAGAGAUUGAAAUUGUCCAAGUACAACAGCUACUUGCAACCAUUGGAAGAGCAGGAUGGAUGAAAUCAAACUACUACUAAGAUGGAUAAAAAAAAAAUUAUCAACAUGUAUUAUAUAUUAAUAAUUCACUGACCAUCAGUAAUACAACGCAACCAUAGACCUCUGGGGCACUCUUCUUCUUAGCUUCGGCAAUACCGUUGCUCAACUCAUCCACCACUAGUGUCGCCCAGUUCACCUUGCCAGCUGUUUGAAUAUUGUACAUAAAAGGAAUUAAUGCCCUCCUAUGUGCCCAAUAGGGGGAUGGAGCCAGAAGCUUCCCCAAGACAAAGAGUAUGAACUUCACUCUGAAGGCUGAUCCAUGGCUGACUAAGGUUUUUAGCUCCUUUUUAAUGCUUGACAGAACCACUACCCCAUCUUUAACUGGGAUUUCAAGUAGAGCUUCCAAGUCUUCAUCGACGGCUAGGUCUAGCCCCACUAAACUUACAUCCACUCCAGUACAGCUCACGCCUAUAACUCUUUCAACAUCAGUAGGUGUGACCUUCAUCUUGACACCGUGGACAUCAAGCGUCCGCGUUUGGCAAUUGAAAUUGUUUACAAUCCAUGUUAGGAAUUCAUCAUCGAUCCUGAAUCCUUUAAUGUCAAGCAAGCCACCCAAGCCUAGUUCACGCACAACAUUUUGUUGGCCUAUAGUGAGAGCGUCAACAACCUCCUUCACCAGCUCAGUUGAGGAUCGAGUCUUGUAUACUACCUACAUUAAUAUAUCAUUCAUUAAAAUAUCCGUGAUAUUGGAAUGAAUGGUAUGAGCAACACUUACAAUAUGGCUCAUUGCAGUCUGGCCCUUGCCAUCAUUAGGGCGAGACUCGUUUGGCUUACUUACUGCUGUAUUAGUUUCGCUGGGAGUGAAUGUGGAAGAGAUGGAUAUGGGGUUAUCCCAUCCCCUGGCUUUUUCCCUAUGCUCGUUCGUGUCCAUUCCAGCAGAAUUCUUGGCAACCAUUGGGUGUCUCCGCUCCGGGAACUCCUCACGCACGCCUCCAUAACCAGAUAUCACACUCACUUCUCUGCUCCAACCAACCUCUUGCUUACAAUUUGAAGACAGCACCUUGACUAUGUUGGAGUAGCUAUCCGUGCCACAUGUCCUCUGUCCACCGUAUGGAUUUUUCCCUUUCUUUUUCAAUGGAUCCCUGUGUUGAAGAAUUAAAUGUAUAGCUACUGCCAAGAAGGAUAAUGUAAUGCGGGAACCCUUGGUCUUGUGUGGGGUACACAAUUGAUUUUAUUAAAUCAAUAAUAUGUGGGCCAUUCCAGUUAAAUUACUGGUUACUAAGUUCAUUUUUUACAACGAACACAACAUAUUUGUCUUCUGCGCAUUAAUUAUCUAUAUUAAUUAUACACGAACCAAUGCUUGGUUCCAAAAUGCCACUAUCUAAUUUUGUUAACAUAAUCUCAUAAUGGGAGUGUAAUUAAUACCAUUGUAAUUGGUUCAUCCUUGCCCUCACCAAAUAAACAAUUACUUGUUCCCCUUAGCCUAUGAAAUGCAUCCAAACCAUCUGUUUCAUGCAUACAGAACAAAGCUGGUAAUCAAUAUGUGGUCCCUCACGGAAACAUGCAUAUUCCAUGAAACUUUAAUGCAACCCAACUCACUCUGGACCGUGGAUACAUACACGUACACGUUAUGCCAAUCGAAACCUUUAACAUUAAUUUUUUUAUAAACCUUCACGAAGGUCCUAUUAGCUACGAACUUAACUUUUGUUCUCAUAUUUUUUAAUGCACACACAACAUAAAGGAAAAACAUAGUAGACAGUGGUUUGUCAUGGAUGUGGGAAGCAUCCGAAAAAGGGUGUCGUUGGACUACAUAAGGGGAGACAUACAUCUUCUGUAGAAUCCUCAGAUUCCUUUGCCGAGCAGGUCCUUGGCUUCCUUUGGGACGCCUUCGUGCCUUCUUGCUGGGUUGCACUCCUCUACAAGUUUUGCAAUAUCCUACUUUUGUACUUUUAGCUUUAUCCCGGAUGUAACACACUUACUUCUUUAAAUCUGUGCUUUGAUGAAUGAGCCUUUUGGCGCCCAAUAAUUUCCCGCCCAUUAAAGUUUCCCUCCAAUCAAUUCUGUGUCUUCUUUUUUUCCCGCCUUUAAAGCUCCUACCGACGCAUUGCUGCCUUAUUUAUGGGUUGCACUACUCUACAAGUUUUUUACGAUUCUACCUUUUCCUUUCCGAGUUUACACUAUAGCCUGCAACCUAUAUGAUGAUAAUCGUUUUUGGCUGAAGUCCAACUUAAUUAUUUAUUAACGGUGCGCUUCGGUGAAUAAGCCUUUCAGCGCCCAAUAUUUUCCCGCCCAGUUUCCUUUCCCUCCAAUCAAUUCCGUGUCUUCUUUCUUUCCCGCCUAUAUUUUUUAACUAUUUAUCACUCAACUGUUACUUUCCUCUUAUGUACUUCAACAAGUGCAAACUAGUUGAGUCAACUCUACCUUCGAUAUAUUCAAUGUGAAACUCAACAUAAUUUUACGAAACUAGACCCUUGUCAAAAUGGUAAGUUAGAUUCAAUUUUGAAUCUACCUCGACCUUAAAACAUUAAAAACUAAUUUUCAACAAAGACAUAAAUAAAGUCAUAAUUUUUAAUAAAUAAUAAAAUACCAGCUCUCUUUCUAUAUAUUAAUAUUUAUUUAUUUAUAUAUAUAAUAUUUUUUUUUCAAUUUUAUUUUAUAAUAUGUAUAUUAAUAUAUAUUUGAUAUACAUAUAAAUAUAAAUAUAAUUUAUAAAUAUAAUAUGUAUAUUAAUAUAUAUUUGAUAUACAUAUAAAUAAAUAUAAUUUAUAAAUAUAAUAUGUAUAUUCAUAUAUUCAUAUGUAAAUAUGUAUAAAUAUAUUUAUAAAUAUAUAAACAAUAUAAUAUACAUAAUUGAAAUAUACAUAUUAUAAAACAAAAUUGAAAUAAAUAUAUUUAUAAAUUUAUAUAAAUAUAUAUAAAUAAACAUAUUUAUAUAUUUACAUAAAUAUAUAUAAAUAUAUUUUAAACAAAGUAUUUAUAUUUAUAUACAUUGAUAUAUAUUUAUUUUUGUAUAUAUAUUUUAUUAAUUAUAUUUUUUUAAAAAAAUAUUUUUUGUAUAUAUUUUUUAUUAAUUUAUAUAUUUUUGUAUAUAUAUUUUAUUAAUUUUAUAUAUUUUUGUAUAUAUAUUUUAUUAUUUUUAUUUUUUGAAAUAAAUAUAUUUAUAUAAAUAUAUAUUUAUAUAUUUACAUAAAUAUAUAUGUGUAAAUAUAUUUAUAAAUAUAUAUCAAUAUAUUUUAAACAAAAUAUAUCAAUAUUUAUAUAUAUAUUUAUUUAUUGUAUCUAUAUUUUGUUAAUUUUAUAAGUAUAUAUAUUUAUUUUAAACAAAUUAUUAAUAUUAAUUUUUUAUUAAUAUUUAUAUGUAGAUAUGUAUAUUUAUUAAACAAAUAUAUUUUUUUCUAUAUAAUAUUUAUAUAUAAACAUAUAUAAAACUCUAUUUUUUGUAUAUUUGGAGUUAUUUUUGAUAUAUUGUUUAGAUAUGAUGUUUUUGGAGUUGUUUUUGUUUGUGUAUUACUGUAGUAUUGUAGAUAAAAAACAAGUAUUUCAAAAACUCUCAAAUUCACACCAACCCAUAAGUAUCUUGAAUAUAUUUUUUCGAUUGCCUGAAGGGACAAAAGAAACAUCUUGUUGUUUUUUCAAUUUUUUUUCCUUUACUGUACCUCUCAUUACGAUUCAAACCCAGAUGAAAUUAUGACCAUCUAUUACAGACAUACGAAUUAACCAAUCUUGUAACAUUCCCAACGAAUUCUUAGAUUUCUUUGGGAAGAAUUCUUAUUUUAAUGUCCUCAGUAUUGGCUAUUUUAGACUAGCGUAAAUUAUAUAAGUACAAACUACAACACAUUUUCAUACAAUUAGUUAUUUCAUUUUUAAGAUUCACAUUUUAAGUUAUCCCAUAAUCAUGUGAAUACUAUUUUCUACGAUAGCAUUCAAAAAAUGUACAUACAAAUGAGAUGCAUUGACACCUAUGAUAUAUAUUACUAAUGUUACAUUCUGUGACUGAUUUUAAACUUUUUGGGACUUGAUUAAAGCAACAAAACAUAUUGCAUCACUAAGUUCUCUCAAAUUUGUUCCCAUUCAACAGUUAACGAUACAACAAGGCAAUUUUUUCCAAUUUUUUUUUUUCAACAAGGUCAUUUUCUAUGCAACGAUGUAACUACAUCAAGUUCAUAGUCUUAACUACGUUUUAAAGCAUUGCUAAUAUCUUGUGCAUUUUGCGCUCUGCCAAAUUACCCGGAAAAAUUUUUUUCCCCUUUUUUUUACUUACCAAGCGAUCAUUCAUCUACUUUCCAUUCAAUUUCUCUACCAUUUAAUUUUAUUGGGUUCACAGAUUUUCUUACUUUUAUUAUACUUGUAUAAUAUGUUUUCCACGAGCCAAAUCCAUUUAAUUACAUGAUGUUCAAGAUACAUUCACAUAUUAUAUGAACAUUAUUCGACCUUGAUUGAAUAUUAAAUGACCUGUAAAUGUUGCUCGAACUAGCUUCAAUAUUUUGUAUAUAUGUUACACUUCAAAUUCGAUGUCAAUUUCUUAAAUUAAAUUAAUCGAAUUCAAGCUUGAGCUCUAACUCCAAUUUCAUUUUCAAAACUAUUUCAUUAUGCAUUUCAAAGAUCAUUCAUGAUUUACAAUAAAUUUAAUUAUGCUUCUUUUUUUACCAACUUAAAUAAUAUUCAUUUCAUAUAUAAUUACUUUUAUAAUGAAACAAGACAUAUAUAUCCUAUAUUUAAAGGUAUACUCAUAUUGCUAUUCAUUUAUUCUUUGUCGUUAUAUAUGUGUUCACGAACUAUUCACAAAGUUUGUGAAUAGGAUCGUGCUUGUCUCGACUACUAAACGAAGCUGACAUCGUGUUCAAGUUUGAUUUAUUUAUUAAACAAUCAAUCUUUUUUGUCACUCGAAUGAACCAAACUCGAACAUCUUUGUCAUACCUUAACUUGUACUAUAGAUGAAACUUAGAGAGGAAGGGAUGAUUUGGAUGUACCUAUUUUCAAGUUCGAGACCUGCCACUUGCACAAAAAAAACGUGACAAUACUUAACUCUUCUUUGCUUCCAUUCUAUAACUUUUAAUCGCAUCAUUCUUAUAGCCCAUAAAUCCCACUUCUCAAAUUCGCCAAAACUGAUGCGCCCAUGGAAUGUUCGAUUUCAUCAUGGUUACCAAUACAUACACAUAUACACAUGUAUACACUCAUACACACAUAUACCAUAUUUAUUAUUUUAAGAAUUAAUCAUUUAUACUCUGCCAAUUUCGAUAAUUAUCUAUUUUGAUUAUAUAACAACUAAUUUGUUCUAAUUGAGUUGUAUUUAUUUUUCAUCUAACUCUCUUCCAACAAAUUUCAUUCAUAAUUUGUCUCUUCUAAUCAGCUCGAUCGUGCCUAAUGCAUUUCAGUUAUUCUUUUUAUCCUUGCCUUCUAAUUUUAUUUAUCCUUUUUCAAUACACUUGCAUUAUCGUACAUAGUAAUUUGCGUGUACAUUUAUUAAUUCACUUUUUAUAUUGCUUAACUUAUUAAUUUUGUUACAUAGUAAUACAUCACUAAUGCACAAAUGCACUAUGCUAUCUUUCAUUUUAUUUCUACUUAAAAUGAAUACCGAUGUCAAUAUAAUCACACACAUCAUAAAUUUAAUUACCAUCCCACAUAAUAUAUUUCAUCUAUUGUAUGAAUUGUAUUAUUUAGCAGAUAUGAUUGCACCACACUAUUUUUGUAUACAUAACUUUUUUAAGACUACUAUGGUACAUAAAUACCUCAAGUGCAAUUAUUUCUUCAUACAACUAUGAAUACUUUAACCAAACAUUAUUAUACAAUUAUUUACACCUUGGAUCAAUUCAUAAUUAAUCAUUAAGCAAAAAAAAAAGAUUGCACUAGCAAAAUAAAAGUUGUUAUUCAUGGACAUACUAAACCUGCUACAAAUUACAUGCAUCUAUACCAUGCUUUUUAUUUGGGGAUGAUUUCAGAAACCUUUCCUAAGGUUUCUGACUAUUUCAUUGAAUUCUCAUGAGAUUUGAAUAAUUACGCUUACCUCCAUUAAUUCAAUAGUUUAAGUAACAAUAUAUUAAAAUAAUAUUUAUUUCGGCAAAUUUAAAUGAAUACCCAUAAAUGCCAUUGUACAACGUGUUUUAUUUUUUUCUAUAAAAUUAGACUAUUAUCUAGUAUAAUUAUAUGGAAUAGGUGCCAAAUUUUUUUAUGUACAUAUCUGCUAUUUUAUAAACAACUAUAAUAAUUUUAUUAUUAUGAUUGGAAACUUUUUCCUGGUAUUUUAUUAUGGAUUUAGAUUUAUAAGAUAGAAAAAAUAUGUUGAUAAACUCAUUUCGAGUUUAUUAAUUUUUCAAGUAAUGCAAUUAUCAUAAUUUAAUACUGGUUUUGGCCCAUAAAAAGGUUCAUUUUGUCAAUUAAAAAUAAAAAUUAGAAAACAAAAUAAACAAAAACAUUGAAUUACAUAUAAAAUUAACUCGUAACAAAUUUCACUAAUUCGACAUUUAGUUAUAAUAGAACCUAGAGACAAUAGUGACAGUUCUACAGUUUCAUUGACGAACAAAUAACAAAAAGAAAUAAGAAGGAAAAAAUUUUAACAAACUCAUUGUAAAUAUACGUAUACCAAAUAACAGAAUUUUCUUAAAAUAUUUAAGAUUUAAAUUGUCUUUUUAAAUCCCAAGGAAGGUAUGUGUAAUUGUUUAAUUUUUAUGUGAGAGGGAGUUCAGGGAGUUCAGUGAAAUCUCGGGGGAUAUUUCUGAAAGUACCCCUUUUACUGCCCAGCCUUUUUCCGGGGCCACUUGCAAUUUAGUGUUUCGUUGGUCUCCGGUCUUAAAUUAAUCAUCUUUCCACGUUUGCAAUGAUGUGGACGUCCAACUGGAACAUCACAUAUUUCUUGCCAACUGGUUUGACGUGGAGGUGGAACUGGAACAUGUGCUCCACUAUUCCACGCCGGCUCAGCAAUUCUCCUUUCGGUUUCCAUGCAGCCUUGAUUUCCGUGGCUGGACACGUGCUAAUCGAUGCUUCAACGGGCCAGCUUUUCCCUUGCUGGGGACAUCCGUACUGUCUCCAUUAUAGAAAAAUCCCUUUAAUAUCUUACACGACUAUUCAAUGCUGUACCCUAGAUACAAUUACCAUAUUUUUCUAUUUUCGGUUAUUUUCAUCUUCUUUAUCUUCCUUUUCUCUUUUGCCCCUUUAUUGUCUCUCCUUUCACACAACUUCCCUUAACAAUUAUCAUAUAUUAAUUUAGACUAAAACUUUAGUGUCUUCUAAUUUAUUUUGUGUUGUAGUUUAUUUAUUGCAGAGUUUUGUUAUUUAUAAGUAAUCACAAACUCCAUAUCAUAACCAAUGUUUUGAAAAUCGGAUUGGAUCGGUCAAUUUGAUUGGUCAAACCAUGAAUUGAUCAUACUUUUGGUCCGAUUCACUCAUUAACUCAAAAAUUCAAUUGAAUAGAUCAAACUCGAUCAUGAACCGGUAAAAAUCGAUAAAAAUCAGAUGGUUCAAGCGAGUUUCAUUCAUUUUUUAUUUUUAAAACAAAUAUUUUAGUUUUAUUUAAAAAAUUUUAACACUAAAAUAAAUGAAAAAAAUUAAACAUUUGAUCAAGGUUGAACCACAAACCGAAAGAUCUUUUGAAAACAUUGAUCAUAACAAAGCAUAUGCUUCUUCUAAUGCAAAGUGUAUGUAGUUUAGAACUUGAGUUGGCUCACUCACAUGAAUGGAUUAGAGCUUAAACCUUACCAAUUACUAAUAACAAGGAAAAAAAAGAAAUAUAAGCAUCAACAAUUCUAUUAAUAAAACAUAUUUUUUGUUCUUAUUAUAAUGAAUCGACCUAUAUUAUUAAUGUAAUCUAUAAAUUUAUCACUUUUACUUAUACGUGUCAAACAAAUCCAUUUAGGCAAUUUUACUCAUACUUGCACCAUGAAUAAAUGGGUAUGGGUAUCUUCAAUUUUAUAUAUUGAUAUAAAUGGAUUACCCACUAAUACUCAUUUAAUGAAUGGGUAUAAUUGAAUAAUCCACCAAAUUCAAUUAAUCCAUUUAGAAUUGUUUUCACAAUCACGUCCAUUUAGAAUUGUCUUUAGUAAUAGUAUCCUAAUUUCUUCAUCACCUUUGACCAAAGUUAGUAUCAAAAAGUGGAGAACCUAACCGAAAGGUGGGAGAAUCUGUUGGCCAGUUUUUAAUUUAAAGAUAAAAAAAUAGCUAUACACUUGUAGAUUUUUCUGUUCUAUUUUCAUUUGUAAUUCUUGGUAUCCAAUUUCAAGUUCAUAAGUUGGUCGAUCAUUAUUAUUUAAUAUCUCGCUUUUUCAUGGCUCCAAAUCCUUUCCCUAUUAUAUAGCAAAAAUAUUCUUAUUGUUCAAUUAUUAAAUAAUAUGUAAUUUUGCGACAUAGCACACAAAUGGGAAAAAAAAUGGUAAUUAGACUUAUUGAGCAUUACAAGUAAAUAUUUAAAAUUAAUGAUGGGUGCAAACUGCAAAAGGGUGAUAUAAAUUGAUAAUUUAGUCUACAAAAUAAAAUUAGAUGAAUUUGUAAAACGUUGGAGUAAAUGGGUUGUAACCCAACUCAUUUUUUGACUUCCCCAUUUAUAUUCAUCUAAUUAAAUGAAUAUAAAUGGAUUGACUCACUUAUACCUAUUACCCAUUUUAACCCGUCCAAACCCGCUCAAAUUACCCAUUUUAACACAUCUACUUUUACUAGUAGUUAUUGAUUAACGAUAUCCUCCAAUCUAUUUUAAGCAGUUAAAUAACGUAUGUAGCAUAUAUUUAGCUAUAGUAAAUUAUUACUAGUAAAAACCACCGAAUAAGCAAUAAUACAAAACCAAAAGAAUAAGCUAAUGCAUAUAAAUAUUUAAUUUUCUAUAUAUAAAUAAUGGUAACAAAAGGAAGGAAAUUCGUAGCCGUAUGAUACAACGAGAGUUAUGAAAUUUGAAAAGGAAAAAAGAGAAAAUAAAAAAUAACAUAAACAGAAAUAAUACUAAGCACAUUAAGAUGCGAUGAAAUACACGUUGAACUAUAUUUGGUUACUUUUAUAUUUUACACUUAACCAUUUUACCUUCAAACUAAGAAUGUUAUCAUUAUGUAACAAUAGUGGUAUAUUCACAGAAGUAUAUCAUUUUUAGGCAAAAAACUUAUUAAUAAAAAAAUGCUAUCUCUUGUUUUAUUGCUAAAUAAAAUAACUUUUUUUUUAUUUUUUACUACAUGGUCUAUAUGUGUAAGUAUGUAAAAUUAAAUUGAGUAUUCUAUUAAUAUUUAUAUAUAUUCAAAAUAAAUAUUUUUAAAUAUGAUAAUUAAUAUUUAAAAACACUUUAUGAGUAAUAUAUUAUUUAUAUUUAUACAUGUUAGUAACCCAUUGAUUUAACCACCUAGUCACUAAUUGAACCAAGUGACCUAUCUAUCUAUUCGGUCCUUUUAUUGGUUUCUUGAGAUUUAAUAACUAUGCUUUUUGAGGUAUUUACUCUUUUAACAGAUCCAUUUUUAAUUGCACUGACCAAAAACAAUUAAAUGAGCGGACCCUAAAUAUUCUGAAGUAUAUCCUUGGUGUGGCUCUAAAUUAAGCCUCCCUAAAUGGUGAAGCAGAAAAUUACCCUUAAAUCAAAAUGUUCUGAAUUAUAUCCUUGAUGUGACUCUAAAUUGAGCCUACCCAAAUGGCAGAGCAGCAAAUUUGACAAGAAAUAUUGAAUUUCGGAAAAAUCAUCUUUGCAGCUGAACAAAUUCCGAAUUUUAUUCUUUUCUCCUGCUGCUACUAAUAUAGACCCAACAGAAUUAGGGCCUGUUUAGCAAAUAAGUUUUUAAUCAAGUUUAUUUGCUUCAAGUUUUUUUUAACAACUUUUAAUACAAUAAUCUCAAAAAACUUCUCAAAAAUUUUAAACUAUAUAUUUCAAAAUAUCUAAAAAUUUAUACACAUCAAAAAAUUUUUAUAAUUUUUAUCAUAAUUUAUAAUUAAAUUUUAGAUAAACAUCCAAAAAAUUCAUUCGUCAAACGGGGCUAUAUGGAUCUUUUUACCUCAGACAAAAACAAAAAUUUUAUAGGAUUGUGGUGCAUUAAAAUUCCGUCCUUGUCCCUUUGCACGUCGGCUUGAAAUAAAAAAUGUGGUUAAUGGACCCAUACUGCCUUGCUUUGCUUGCCUGCUGACUACACGUUGCACUGCAAAGGCGUGUCCCUUUCGAUUUUCGCCUGUGUUUCUUCCCUCUGAAAUAGAAAGUAAUGGACCAUCUGGUAACCAAACACUCGUAAAAGAAGGGAGAAAGAGCCCGCUUUCUUGGCUAACGCCCGUACUCUAGUACUGCUGUGCUAGUAGAACUGAACCAUCUUGACUUGAGUUUAUUGAAUAAGCCCAGAACAGUAAUGGAGUCUCUGCUCAUUGGGUCUUUUGCAAAGCCUUCAUAUUUACCUUCAUUUCCUCUCACUUCUGAGCUUUCUUCUCCUUCCUCUGGUAAGCAGAAAUAUGUUCUCAAAUGUCGUUUCUGAUAAUUUAUUUUGUUGGAUUUUGGGAAAACUGGGGUACCUGCAUUGAUUUUUUUGCUUUCGUCUCAGUUUUUAAGAUUUUGGGAUUAAGCUAUAUGGGACUUUAAAAUUGUCUAAUGUGUUCUCAUUUAAUUCAUAAUCGAAAAAUUUUUAGCUAAUCGUGUCAAUUUCACUUGGGAUUCAGUUCUUGAGAAAAUUUAGCUUAAUUUUCUUCAUUCUGGAAUUCAAUUUCUGCUGUUUGUAGAUAAAAAUAUUAGCUUUAUGAGAAUGCAUGCUAACUGAAGAAGAAACAAAAAAGAAUUAAAUACGGAAGCUCAUAAAGGGGGUGCAUGCUGCAAUUUCUUGUGUUUCUUUACUGUUUUAUUUCCCUUUCUUGUUACUUCUUAUAAUUCUGAAAUUGGUCCACUAUGUUGAUUCUAUAGGAUUUCUCUUGAAAUAAUUGGUUUAAAUGUAGGACUGCUGGGUUUGAAGUGCAAAAGAUGGAACAAUCUAGAGAAACAGUUAGCAGUGAUCCCAAAAAGGCGGCUUCUGAUGAGUCAGCAUGUUGGUAGCGACAGCAGCCAAAAAUUUGUUGCUUUUUGCUGGAAAGGAAGUGAUAAGUAUUUGGUGAAUGCUGUCUCUGAACACCCUUUUGAAUCUGAACCUUCGAACAGCCCCCUGAAGUCACUUCAAGCCAGUUUAGAUGCUUUCUAUCGGUUUUCACGUCCCCACACUGUUAUAGGAACAGUUAGGUUCAGAGAUCCCGUUGCUCUGAGUUGACAUUAAGAUGCUAACUAAUUUUAAGCAGUAAUCACUUUUGUUUGUGUAUGCUAGCAUUUUCAGGAUAGCAUGUGUACACAUACAUAGAAAGUAACUUCUCUGUUUGUAAGGAAGAUUGUAAACUUUAUUCACUUUUCUGUGAGCAGGUACUGAGCAUAAUUUCAGUUUCUCUACUUGCAGUCGAAAAGGUUUCAGAUUUUUCUCCAUUGUUUUUCACUGGGAUGUUCGAGGUUCGUUUGAUGUUUUGGAUGAUUCAAGAAUUCAAGUAUGGUAUAAUCUAAUAUGAUGUUUUUAGGCAUUGAAGUUGUUGGUUUUCAGGCCAUUGCUGCUGCCUUCUUGAUGAACAUAUACAUUGUUGGCCUGAAUCAGUUGUCAGACAUAGAUAUUGACAAGGUAGGACAUGCAUGAAUUCAUUUCUUUUUUAGGUCCAUGAAUGAGUUGUCAGACAUGGAAAUAGAUAAGGUACGACAUGUAUAAAUUCAUUUCUCUUUUAGGUCCACAUCUAAAAUUUACUUCUUGCAUUGCACUUUCACGAAACAAAGAAUCAGAAGAAAUCCAGCUACCUUAUGCAAUUCAAGGGAAGGAUUGAUGGCAGGACAUGGUCAAUAUGGCUAUUCAUGUAAAGGAAUUUAUUUAAUUUUUUAUAAUAUAAUUCUGCAGAAUGGUUACCUCUAUUACCUUUAUUUUCUAGUUUGCAGAGUAUGUGAGCAGUUUCUAGAUCAUAGAUUCUUUUACUAUAUCAGAAAGUCAUAAACUUUGUUUUGCAUUUGAAUUAAGUGACAACUGUUAUUAUGUGUAAACAAUAACAAUUAUCACUUGGAAAUUGCGAUAUCGAUUAGUGUUUUCUUUUAGCCACGCCGAGAGUUGCUGCAUGUCCAGUUAUAUGGGAUUGUUAGGAAGUUUGAUUUUAAUUUCAAGAUUAAAAUUCAUUUUCCACAUUACUGCUUUUCUCUACCUUGGCGCAAAGGAUAAAUUAGGAGCUGAGGUGGCGUACAUGGACAGGGUUUAACUAUUUUAUGAUCUACUAAAUUUAUGACUGGACUUUUGUUUGUCAAUGCCAUUACUUCUUUUUCUUCUCUUCCACCACUUAUUUUAGUGAUGUUGUUAUUUCAGGUUAAUAAGCCAUAUCUCCCAUUGGCAUCAGGGGAAUAUUCAGUCAAGACUGGUAUAAUAAUUGUUUCAUCAUUUGUCAUAAUGGUAAUUCUUAAGCUUCCACCAAACUUUGUGUGUUCUUUUGUCAUUUUCUUUCAUGGUAUGACUGUUUAGUUGUCUGCCAGCUAUUGUAUGACAAAUCACAAAACUUUUCCUCUAGAUAUGUAGUAGCUUGAAAGAAUUUUUUUCAUGAACAUAAAUCACUGGAUAGCUAACCAUUUUUUACUGGCAGUGAGCUCCUAUCACUACUCACCUUAUAUAUUUAAAUCAUAAAAAGUAGUUAACUACUUUUUAUACUAAUUAGAUGGUAUAUUUACAAAGAGCUCCAAUGAAUUCUGUAAAUUACAAUUGCCUUAAUUGAGAGGUAGUUAACUCUGAAAUAUCCUUUUAAAGAUGAUGGCCAGAGGGCUAACUGUUUUUAAAAAUUGAGAACAUCUUUAAUGUGACUCCAUGUUAACAUUGAUGGGGGGAGUCAGUCAAUGUAGUUUAACUCACGGAUCUUUGCCUAUCUUUUUUAUUUUUUUUUGUCGAUACGAUAGCUUCCUACACUAUAGGGAAGGGGGGCCUGAAGAGGUCCUGAGGUAACCCGGAGGGGACUAAACCACCACCGGACCAGACGGGUGCACUGCGCACCCGCCUGGAUUUUUUAAGCAAGGCCACAUUUAAUUGUGGCAAAUUGGUAACUCUUGCCUCCCACCCCACCAAGCCUUAAUGCAUUGGUGGUGGCCACCAACCCAAAGGCUGGUGGUUAGAUCUUUGCCUAUCUACUUUCGUGUGUUCUUCAUUACUUGUCAUAAGUCUAUAAACUAUUUAGUUUUUAUUAGUAUUUUCUUCCAUAUUGGAAACAAUUGUGAUUAGUUUUCUAGAGGAUAUUUGGAGUUCCUUCAGUAAAUAUUCUGAAUGUUAGCAGAGGAAUUCUAGAAUAUUUGCAAUAUGUUCAUAUAUUCUUAUUUACUUAUCAUGAAACUUAUUUAUUUCUCCUUACAGAGCUUUUGGCUUGGAUGGAUAGUAGGCUCAUGGCCAUUAUUUUGGGCUCUUUUUGUCAGCUUUGUGCUUGGGACUGCAUACUCAAUGAACGUAAGUGAAAUAUGAAACCUAUGCCUUCACUAAAUAGUUUUCUUAUUUCCGGAGACUCUGGAUUUUGCCUUCAAAUGCACUACUGAUGUCAAUUUCCAAUGCAGUAAUUUUUUUUUUUGGCCUGCCCAAAGUAUAAAGUCUUUAGUUUUGGUUCUCCAAUGCAGCAAUUUAUAUGUUUUGCCUGCCCAAAGUCAGUACUGAUAAAGUCUUUAGUUUUGGUUUUGGUCCAUCCCAAUUUAGUAUCACCUUCCCUCUAUCCAUCAGCAAAACGUAGUGGCUCCACAUGUUUGCCACUACCUACUUACAUUUGAAGUAAAUAUUGUUAGCUGAAUAUUCCACCCAUGAAACUAAAAUGUUCUGUUUGAUGAGCAUGAUUUAGAAUGGUUAGAAUGGACAUCUGCAUUUUGCUGGUUAGAAUGGUUGAUCGUCACUAAUCAUAAGAGUACGAGGUAAGUUGACAGUAACUUGUUCAAUCUGUCCUUUUAGUCUGAUCUUACAACAUUUCUGUUAGACAGGUAUACAUACGAAACUAAUCUUGUAACAUGUCAUCUUUCCAUUAAAACAUUCUUUGAUUGUCUUUAAGGAUAUAUGGUUCUUGAAUUGCUCUAUGAUAUGAUCUGCAUUGUUGUUUCAGUUAUAUGCACUAGUAAAUUGUCAUUAACAACUUUACAUUGAGGGUUGUUAAAUUCUGGAAGCUCACAAACUCAUCUGGCUUCUGCCCUCUCAUGUCCUUAGUUUAUAGGGACCAUUGCUAUUAUUCUAGCUUUCCUAAUGAAAUGUGCCAGAAGAUCCUGUGAGUAGGCUGCUAACCAAUCUUGUAUUUGUUGUAAGAGAAAAAGUUCUUGGCAAGCAAAAGUGGAUACACAUUAUGUGAAACUCCUAUUUUGAAAUUUUCUCCCAUAAAAUGUGUUCAUUUUAGUCUUAUGCUUUAGCAAGUAGUUCAGUUUUUGGCUUCUACACUGUUCGAGUGAGAGGAAUAACAUUUCCAAUUUAUUGGCUAAUUUACUCGUGAUGUCAUGUUAUGUGAUAAGAGUUUUCAAAAUCAAGUUUUGUUGCUUAAUAGAUCACAGGAUUGCUUCACUGAAUUAAUUUGGUUUGGAACUUAUUUUUCCUCCUGUAUUAUAAUUCUUCAGGCCUUUCUUUGGUGGUACCACUUCAGGCCAACUUCCGAUUUUGCAAUUAUUUGUAAACCUUCAAGAUAAUAGUUGCAUAUAAGAUUCCAGAAUUCCUUGUUUAGCACAGGAUGCUUUUUCCUGAAUGAAAAGAAAAAAAUGGAACUUGUUCUUAGUCUCCUUCAUCCUUUCAAUUAUCAAUCUUCAGUUCAUUUGGUGCUGGCAGGUCAUCAAGCAAGAGGUUCUAGAUUCAAAUAUUUCUAAUAUUUAAUUCGUUUUAAUAUGUGAACAGCUCCUUCAAUACAUUGCCAACAACUAGCCCUCAAAAAAAAAAAAAAGAAGAAAAACCUUGCAACUAUCCGAGAGCAGGAAGCACGAGACCAUAACUUCCUUUUUGAAAUAUCAUCUCCAAUUAGAACAUUUAUUGCUGACAAUGCAAAUUAGCACAGUAAUGAUUCCUGUUGAUAUAUUGGGAUAAGAAUAUAGAGCGACUGAGUUGGCUUACAUAAAGUGGAAUGGCCUAGCUGUUUAAGUAAAUACUUGCCCAUGUUUAGCAUUGUAGUGGUAGAAAUCUGGGAUACCCAGAAGGGGUUUUCUAUGCCAAUGCUCACUGUUUCCCGGUCCUUUGCAGGUACCAUGGUUGAGAUGGAAGAGAUUUGCAUUUGUUGCUGCACUCUGCAUCUUAGCUGUGCGAGCUGUAAUUGUACAGUUAGCAUUUUAUUUGCACAUUCAGGUCAUCCUCGAUCCAUUCUAAGUAAUAUAUUUUGGUAUAAAUAUUUUUUCUGUGAAAUGGAGUGACUCAGUUUGUAGUUGCGAAUUAUGUUGUCAUUCUCAGAUAAGCUAACCGUGUUGAAAUAUUGCAUUCUUUUUACCAUUUCCUAGUAGUCUCCGAGUUUAUGCAACAAGAGGACUUUUAUCAUCCUUUACUAUCAUAUAUGGUAGCAGUAGACUGGAUGAUUACCAAUGUAUAAGCUUGAUAGUUCUGGUGAUGCGUGGAUCUGAUUCUUUAUGACCCUUGUUCACAGACUUAUAGCAGUGUAAUAAGUUUUGCUGCAGCUUAACAAAUAGGGUUUCUUCUGGGAUGUGAAGAAUUGCUUGUUCUUGAUAUUUAGCUUUAUGAUAUUAUGUCAGCUUCAGUUGCUAACUGAUUACUAAUCUGUGGUCAAUUCUUUCAGACUUUUGUAUUCAGACGACCAGCUCUCUUGUCAAAGCCUGUAAUUUUUGCCACUGCAUUCAUGACCUUCUUCUCCGUUGUUAUUGCACUAUUCAAGGUGAAUGUUUUUACUUGGUAUGCUGUGGGGGUAAUCUCUUGGUUACAAAGCAAAAGCAUUUCAACUGAACAGCAUCAUAGAAGUUUGGGGAUUGGGAUACCUAUAAAAUGAGUUUGGUUUUUUAUGAUUACAAUUUAAAGCUAUCUUGGAUUUUUUAUACCAUUCCUCUGAUAGCAUAACCAGUGUGACUAAAUGUGUCGAAUUCUGAUAUUUAGAUCAAAGGAUAACAUUCUGUAAUUUGUCCCCUUGCAUUGAAGUCAACGUUGCUGUUAUCUGGAAUUCUGGUGACUGAUGCGACUAAGAAACUUCAACCCUAAAAUUUACAUAAAUGGUUUACUUAGGACUAUUGCUACUUCAAACGAACAUCUAAACUGCCUAAAGGUGAUUCAGCAUGUUGAACAAUGUACAAGAAGAAAUUACUAUCUACUUUUUGAUACAGGUUGCAUUUAGCUUGGUUUGUGCUUUUCUGCAAGAUACUGGACUAAAGUGAGUUAAGUGAUGACAUUUUUUUUUUUUUUUUGUAGGAUAUUCCUGAUAUUGUUGGAGACAAGAUAUAUGGUAUUGAAUCUUUUAGUGUCCGAUUGGGUCAAGAGAGGGUUAGUUCUUAAACAUUGUUCACAAAAAUUCCAGGUCAAGGUCUUAUUUUGCUUUGCUUUUCCCCUGGUUGGUCCUGAUUCAAUUAUGACAGGUGUUUUGGAUUUGUAUAUCCCUUCUUCAAAUGGCUUAUAUUGUCGCUAUUUUUGUUGGAGUGACAUCUUCCCAACUCUGGAGCAAGUACAUUAUGGUAAGGAUCUCUUCCUAAAGUAUUACUUUGUCAUUGUGAGGCAUCGAAGCACUAAACUUGCACUCAUACACAGUUCUGAAAAGUUAGGAGUUUCAUUUGCAAAACUUCUUUACAUAGGUUUCUUCCAUAAUUAAAUUCAGUAGCGAUUAACUAGCAUCAUACUACAGUCUUAAUACAUCGUAAAAUUCAGGUUGGUGGUCACAUCCUCUUGGCUUCAAUCCUUUGGAGGCGAGCCAAAUCUGUUGAUCUGGAAAGCAAGACACAAAUAAUAUCCUUUUACAUGUUCAUCUGGAAGGUACAGUCUCGUUCAAACUAUGAAAUUGGAUAUUCUAAAACCAAAAUGAAACUUUAGCCUAUCAAACAAGUGAGAGUUUUUUCUUUUUCCUUUCUACUUUUAUAUUUCUUGAAGAAAACAUUUCCAUUCCUUUUAUUUAACCUUGCAUGAUUGCAAUGUCCAAAUGGUAAACCAACUCUUGGAUGUUUGCUCUAGAGACCAGCUCACUGAUGUGUGUCCUUAUUGGCAGCACAUGAUUUAAUUUGCAUCCAAACUAUUGACAAAUGGCACUAAGCUGGGUAGCCAUUAACCAUUUUAACUUUCUGUACAUAUUUGGUGCAUACUACUAAGAGAAAUGGGGUGUUUAGACCCAUACAUACAUCAGAAAGUUCUCUGGUGUUCUUUUAUACACAUGCUUAUUUUCCUGCAUCUUUGAAUUUAGCAUCAGUACAAAACUAAAAAUGCGUUUUGGAACGUUUUGCAUUUUGCAGCUCUUUUAUGCAGAGUAUUUCCUCAUACCUCUAGUAAGGUAAGCUGGAGAAAUUUAAAGAGAAUGGCCCCCCAUUUGUCUGCCUCAUGGCAUGACAAGGCUUUUUCCUUUUCCUUUUUUUUCCCUUAUGCACCCCUGUGGCUUUGUAUCAAGUAUAUAUAUAUGGCAAGCAAGGAUGCUUAGAUUUGUACUCCAUGCAAAAAAGACUGACAUAGUCUUGGACUCGAAUACUUCUAAUUCUAGCCAUGAAAUCCUAUUUCAAAGUCAUUGUUGUCAUUUUCCCUCUUAACCAUUUACUGAAUUCAGGAGUUAAAAUUUCUUGAUGAUUGUGGUACGCAUGCUUUUUUUUUCUUUCUUUCUGAUAGUUAUAUGGAUUAUUAAGUGAAAGAGUGGGAAAAAAAAAAAAAAGAGGAAGAUAAUCCUAAACGAGGAUGCAAAUGCUCAGUAUAAUUGGGUGGUAGAUAAAUGAAUACGCCUUAAUCUAAUAGUUAAAGUUGAGGUCUGAGAGUUUUGAACUUUGAGUUUAAAUUAGAUUCUCUGUCCUCUUUUCUAUUCUUUAAAUUCCACCAUUUCCUAUUUUUUUUUAAAAAAAUUAAGAAAGAAAAAUUAGGUGCUGUAACUUAUGGACCGGUAGAGAUGGAGCUGGUGGGCUCGCUGAUCUUCACUAGACCAUGGCGGAGCCGAAGAUUGGAGGGUUGAACUGUCGGUUUGGUUGGGUUGGGUUGGGCCCAGACCAUGACUAGGACUUUUCUAGUUCUCCUUCUUCACCUUUAUUCCAAGAAAACUUCCAAGAAAACUACCUCAAAAAAAGUGACCCUCGAAAAAAACGUUUAUUUCUCUGUUAUUAUAUUAAUGUUACCAAUUGACAACGUUUUCAGUCAUAAUCUAGGUGUCGGUCGUACAUUUGAGCUAAAGAAGAAAUUGCCAAAGAAUGAGACAUAUUUUAAUUUAGUCUCUUUGGGUCACCUGUUUAACUUUUGCCCGUCAGAAAGGGAUAGCUUCAACAUUGGGCCGUGGGUUGAAUAUUUUAGGUAAAUCAGGCUACGCAUUUUAGUGGGUUUAUAUUACGUAGACAGAGUGAAUUGGAUGAGUUAGGGAAAGAUGCAGGAAGCUUCCUACAAGGAUGAUGCUGCUGGCAAUUAGAAAUUAGCUCAAACUGGCAAAGCAAUUUUAGUUCAAUUAUGGUGAACGUCAUGAAUCACUAACUAGGACUACCAAAUUGCUAAAAAAAAAAAAGUAGGAGUACAAAUAGUUGACGAAGUUUUCAAUUUUUUUUUAAAUUUUAUGGGGACCGCUUUUUUUUUUUUUUUUUUCGUUGGCAUCUUAGUCAUCUUUAUGCUCAGGUAAGAUUUGGAGCUUAUUUUAUUGCUAUACAGGAUUUUUUUUUUUUUUGGGUGCCAUUUUACCUAGGUUUAGAGUUUGUUCAAAUUUUAGCUUAGUCCAUGGAGUUUGGAAUUUAAAAAAAAAAAAAAAUCUACGGAAAAGAGAAGGAUCUGAAAGUCGAAUCAGAAAGACUUCAAACCUUACAAUGAGAAAGGGGAAAGGAGAAGGUUUGAAGAUGGGAUCAAUUCACCAAGAAAGAAAGAACAAAAAAAUGAAAGUGUAAAUCAGCGUGUGAUCUCAUAGUUAGAAAUGUCCCAGUUAAUUAAGUCAAGUCUUGGAAACAUUAAAUUCCUUUUAACUUACCUGUCAAUCUUUCACUUGCUUGCCCAAAGUUUGACCUCCUCUAUUCAUUUAAAAUGAUGAUCUGUUUGAUUUGUAAUCAAUAUCACAUUCAACUAUUCAAGCCCAUAAUUAACGAGAUGGAGAUAAAUUCAAGUUGAGCUUUUGGAUGCUUUAUUGAUUAUUCUUCAACCCCAUAAAAAAUUUAAAAAAAAAAGAAGAGAGAAAAGGCAGGACAGAAGAACCAAGUUGACAAGAACAGCACGAAGGGAGGAGGAGAGACAAAGUGCGAAGGAGUGCAAUAAGGGUUGGAUGAGUGGAUGUUACAAGCCUGAAAUCCAAGUGCCUUUGUGUUUCCUAAGAUGUAUGUGGAUGAUCGAGCGUUAGAAGCUUUUCUUGAUUGGAAGUACCCAACCGAGACAACCACUAAAUUAUUUCCAAACCUGCAGUGAAAAUAAGACCAAAUGAUGAAUAGAAUCUAGCCUGCCUUUUUAGCCUCUCUCCUCCCAAUCUUCCCAUACAAUAAUGUCGAAAAGUUGAAACCAACUUUCAAGCCUGAACAUAAUGGGAGACGAGGAAUUUAAGCAAACCCCCUCAAAAAGCACUGGACGAUAAGGAGUGGGUACAAAACACAAGCAAUUUUCAAUAACACUCGUGUUAACAUGUAGUAUUCAUUUUUAGGCUUUUUAUCCUUCUGGGUACCGCUUGUAUCUUGUCGUUGCUUUUCUAGUGGAGUUUUGUUAUCUAAAUUUUCUGGGGCACCAAAAAAAAAAUGGGGGAUGAAGAUGGAGAGUGGGACCAUGAGAAUUUUUUAUCAUGGAGGAGAGUAAGGGGAGGAGACCUCUGUCCAUUCCAUCCGGCCAAAAGUUCUCAAUCAAGAGUCAAAACGGCUAUAAAGUAGAAUAUAUUCCAAAAUAGCCAGAAACUUGAGUUGCGGGGAUAGCCCUAUUCUCCCGUCCCAUGUGUCUCUUAGGCUAUACAUUCACGCAUUUGUCCCCCGUUACAGAAUCAAAUUAAGGUGUACGUGCCCAAUAAUCACCUAAAAUGGGAGAGAAAAAGGGCAAUGUAAUGAGAGGUUGGUUCUCACGGCAAUAUAUAUAUAUAUAUAUAUACUCCCUCCGUCCCAUUUUGAUAGUCCCGUUUUCCUUUUUCGUCUGUCCCAAAUUGUAGUCCACUUUCCAAUUGAAAAAUGUAGUUGUAUUUUAAUUUUCCUAAAAUGCCCUUAUUCAAUGUAAGUUGUUGUUACUAUAAACCUACCCCAUUUAAUGAGAGUUGAUUCUUUUUUUACCAUCAAUUCAAGUUCCCAAAAGUUGUACUCUAUUUAAUGUGAGGGUAUUUUAGGAAAAUAGUAAUUUAAAUUUACUUUUCCAACAAAGUUAAAUACUUUUUCUUAAACUGUAUGAAAAAAGGAAUGGGACUAGCAAAGUGGGACGGAGGGAGUAUAUUGUUUAUCAAACUUUAAGGACCAAAUCUACUAUAGUAGUAGUUAAAUUUGAGAAUCAAGGAAUUAGUAGUCCCCACAAAUUUGCCUUCCAUGAACUUCAAACAUGAAAAUGUUUUGGUUUAUCUGCUCGUUAUUUUCCAUGGAGGGAUGGAAUUUGAAAACGGGAAUGGAGCAGAGAAUUAGAAUUUAGAAUCGAGAACCUUGGAGUCUCUACCCUUAGUCCUUAGACCUUGGUUUAUCUAACCUUCAUCGUAAAGCAUGUUGAAAAAGUGAACUUGCAAAGAGGCCAACUUCAAGUUGGGCACGCAAGGAAAGUGCGUGCUAUUACCAUUGGACGAGUAUUUGAGACAAAAGAUGAGAGAGAGAUUUUGGGUCAUAAUCAAACAAAACAAUUACGGCUUGCUUCUUCCACUCAUUAAAAAUGGGAUUUAAUUCUCGAUGCCUCUCCAUCUACCAUCUCCCUAUCCUUUCCUUCGUUUGGUUCUCUCUCUCUCAUCCUCCCUUUACUGAUAAAUUAGGAAGAAGAACAUCUUUUGGGUUUUGUAAGAAUCAAUGAUCUAUACUAGUCGCUUAGAAAAAUUCAUUAUGCUAAGACAUUUGGAAAUGACUAUCCAAUCACCCGUAAUAUCAUAUAUAGGUUUGACUAUGAAACAGUUUGAAGUAUGUGGAUAGCCACCGACGACGAUGAGAUCACUAUCUACAUUGCUUAUUCCCUCUGCUGCUCUGCUCAAAUUUUCAACUUCCAUAUUUUUCCAGGGAAGGUUCUACUCUAUUUUCUAUAUGCUGCCCAGAAGCCAAAUUUACCACAAACGUCGCUCUCUUUACUUCCUACACUUGGCUCCUGGUCAUCAAAAAUCCCACGCCUGGUACGAAGUUGAAAAACUCCAGAGAACAUGAAACUUCCUCUAGAGAACUGUAUGUACUUGGCCUUUUCAGAAAGCUGCGGACAUGUAUGGUUUCUGCUGGAGUGAUUGCUGACUUCAUUAUUUUUAUAGCGUCAAAAAUCAGUUGCAUAAUCUACCCCGCUUUUGAGUCAUUGUUGAUGUCAACUAACAGCCAACGUUUCACUUUGACUGCAAUUUUAUCUCCAUUAUUGGGACUCUGGACGUAAGCAUGUAAUUAAAAUAGGGUGAAUAAUCUCGCGGACUAAGACACAUUUAAUUGCCACUAGUUUAAAUUGAAGGGCUAUAGUUGUUGACAAACAAUGCAAAGUAGUAGGUAUGAUAUGAAAGCCCUUCUACAGUGAAAAACAGGUAUUAGCCGUACAAAUUGCAAAAUCAUGGUGAUUUCAGCUCUAAUUAAUUGAUUGUACAAUAUAAUAUGAGUGCGUGCAUGUCUUCAUGUGAAUGUCCAGUAUCGCUCGCGAAAUGCUGAAUUUCUUUUUCUUUUUUUUUUUUUUUAGUGGUUGCAGACAGAGAGCUCUGUGCAGAUAUCUAGUAGACAAGAAACCUGGAAAAUUUAGGCCAACAAAAUCUACUUUAUGGGGUGGAUCUCAUGGUUUAGUUGUCUAAAAGGACAUUAAAGCCAGCCAAAAGCCAUACUCUCAUGAGUCCAUGCGUCACGACUCACUGCAAAGGUAAAGCAAAAUAAGAAUGGAGAUAUUAGAUUUAUUUAACGAGUGCUCAACGAGUAUUAAAUUAAUAAUUAAGGAGCACUUCAAAUAUGAGUUUCUCUUUUUAAAGGAAUGCCUUUAGAUUUUUUUUAAAAAAACCCUUGUCACUAUCGUAAGCAAAUUCAAGUAUUAACUAAUUUAUUAUGGCCAGUGAACUAAACAAGUUUUGCGACUAGCGGGUGCAAGCGUAGCCUAAUUGAUAAGACAUUUCAUCUGUAAUCUACAAGUCACGAGUUCGAAUUAUCUAAGAGGUAAGUGAGGAGUCACGGUUGAUCCUCUUUUUUUUUUUUUCUUUUUUUUAUAAAAAGACAUAUUAAUGUAUAUUUAAUUAGUGAAUAACUCUAUUAUCAAUUUAUCAUGUGUUCGGAUGAGAUAACAUCAGAAGAUGCUUGCUACUCAUCCGUGAAUAAAAGUGAAUUACUUCAUUCGAGCUUUUGCUGUUUAAUAGAUAUCAUUUUUCCCCCUCAUAACCGGUUCAAUUGGUGCAAAUAUAAUUGACAUCAGAAUCAUGAUCUCCUGAAACUCUCACUUGAAUGGUUGACUUUUACUUCUAUAGUUGGUAAUUUCGUGUAAGUUUGCCAAUAAAAACCCAGAGACAAAGACAAUGAAAACGACCAAAAAGGCUAAAUAUAUCUUCUAUUUUGGCAAAAUGUGUCUAGCGGCACCAUAAUUGUACUCUGAUUACGUUUUCCUCAGCAUUAUUAGAAAAGAAAUCUGGCAAAGUGAUUGAAGAAACCAGCAAGUAUGAAUUGAAUUGAAUUUUCAAACAAGCAGGCUACACGUGUUGCCAAAUGGCUCUUAAAUAUCUGGUUCUCGAUGCUUUCAAUCAAAUGAUGCCAAUUAUUCUGCUUAAGCUGUAACGUAACUUGCAGGGAAAUAAUCAACAAUAUUCAAACCACGAGACCUUGAGAAUAAACCAUCAUCCUCCAGCCCGGGUUACUUUGAUGAGGCCAAAAACAGCUAUAGUUUUCGCCAUCGAACACAAAGGGGUCCAGAUUCGGCCGACAAGAUUCGACGGUGCAAAGUUUUAUAUAUAAGCACUAACAAACCAUUUUGUGCUGUCGUUUCAUGUAAAACUACAAAUUGUAACGAAAAACCAAAGGGAAUAGCAAUACCAUAAAUAAACGAGUGGGAUUGGGUGCCGUAGCUGUGCGAGCUUCUUGUGCAGUAGUUUUCGUCUUCAUCAUUAACGUAAAUCAGACGAAAAUUUUCUUUUGAACUAUGGUUCGGUUAUAUUCAAACUACUGUUCCAUUGUUCUACAACUAACGUCCUUUUUUUGAGCAAGGACCAAUACUUUUACCAAGUUUGACUUUGAGCACUCAAAUUUAUAUCUUACCUCAUUUUACAUUUUUAAUUUUGAUACUUAUGAUAUUGGACUAGCUAAUAAUGGUAGCAAUAUAAUGUUACCAUAUAUAAAAAAAUAUCUAAAUUUUGAGUGCAUUUUUUCUGGCAACGCUUCCGUUUGCCACCAUAUGAUAUGAGUGCUCUUUUUAUGUGUUCAGGGAAAGAAGUUUUUAUCUCAACAAACAUUUCAUUUCUUUCUUUCUGAAGGACAAAGCGGUUCGAGAAUUGAAUGAGAUAAGUAAGGAAGAUAAACCGGGAAAAUUUUAAAUUCAGGAGGCAGGGCUGCAAACUUUUGUGUUCAACUUUGGAUGCCAAAGUCAAAAGAACAUUUUAAAUUAGAUAUCAAGCUUAUCUACGAGGCCCUAUCCACAAAAAUUAUGAUGAUAAAUAAGUACCAAGUUUUCCAAUUUAUCUCUUAAACUUCCAAGCUUACCCACUUUUUCUUCUUUCUCCAAGUACGAAGUUUCUCAGUUUAUUUCGUCUCUUAAACUCCCAAGCUUACCAACUUUUUUCUUCGCUCUCUAAGUAAGAAGUUUCUCAAUGGGAUAAUUUCAAAAACCUCCCCUGAGGUUUCUGAUAAUUUCACUAGCCUCCCCAAAAGUUACACAAUUUCACAAACCACCCCUACGAUUAAGGUUUUUAUAACAAAAUUAGUCCAAUUAGAAAAAAAGUAUUUUAAGAAGAGAGAUGAAACUUUAAUUCCAUAAAUCCCCGUUAUGCAUAUAUAUAAAUUGUGUUAGUAAAAAAUAAAAAUAAUUAAAAGUUAGAAACAAUUAAUACAUACAUUUCAUUAUUCAAAAAGUUUAUAUUUAAUAAAUUAGACAACACAAAUAAGUAACAAAACUACACUAACGAUCACAAGAUUCAGCAAAAUAGACUAGUCAUCUCUUUUAACAUGGUGUUUGCUAUGAUUCUUAUGAUUUUGAACAAAAAUUUUUUUAACAUUUUGCCUUUCUUUUCCCUCUUCUUCCAUUAGAUAUAUUAAUUGAUGUUAUUUUGUAAAUACAAGUCAUCGUUCAUUAUUAAUGAACUUUUCAACAGUUAUUUGCAUUAAUUAGUUACUAAUAGUUAAUUAGUACUCUAAUUACUUAAUCGUUAGAUAUUAGUAAAUGAAAAUGAAUGAAAAAGAAAGACAAAAUUUGAAAAUUUUUAUUAAUCAAAAUCACAAGAAUAAUAGCAAAUAUCAUGUCAAAAGAGAUGACUAGUUUGUUUUGCUGAAUCUUGUGAUCAUUAGUGUAGUUUUUUACUUAUUGGUGUUGUCUAAUUUAUUAAAUAUAAACUUUUUGAAUAAUGAAAUAUAUGAAUUAAUUGUUUCUAACUUUUAAUUAUUUUUAUUCUUUUACUAAUAAAACUUAUAUACAUGCAUAACGUGUAUUCAUGAAAUCUAAGUUUUAUCUCUUUUUUUAAAGUAGGUUUUUAAUGUUAUUUUUUCUAAUUAGACUAAUUUUAUUAUCAAGACCUUAAAAUUUUAUUAUCAAAAUCUUAAUUUCAGGAGAGAUUUGCAUAAUUUUAUAAACUUUAGGGGAGACUAGUGAAAUUGUCAAAAACCUCAGGAGAGGUUAUCCCUUUCUCAAUUUAUCUCUUGAACUUCCAAGCUUACCAACUUUUUCUUCUCUCUCUCUCUCUUAGGAGUUGAGCUCUCUUUUUCUUUUGUUUUCUUUUUAAAAAUCUCAAACCAGGCUUUAGUUUUUUUUUUUUUUUUUGUCAGCAACAAUACAUUUGUAUAACCUACUCUAUCCUAAUAUAGGGGGAAGGGGGAGUCUAAGGAGGCUGUGAUGGGGGCUAGUGGACAUACAGAUCCAACUAGACUAAGGGAGUGUUCUGGCGCAACUCUUAGAUUUUUUUCGCUGUAGGUGAGGUUUGAACCCUCACCUACAACCCAAGGAGGGACUUAAACCCUUCCCUGGUGGCCACUGAACCAUUGGCCCAGUGGUUAAACCAGGCUUUAGUUAGGUUUCCCUCCCAGAGGAACGUCUUGUCAAUAUAGCUAAAGAUCAGGGAAAAUGGGUGGCACGAGCCGGAGAGGGACAUGCAUAUGAAUUGGAUGUUUCAAUGGCGUUGAAUCGUGGUCAUUUGGGUGCGAACAAAUACUACCACUUGCUAAGAAAUUUAUCCAAGAAAUUUAACAAUUCAGGGAAUCUGAAGGUCAGGACUCGGGAGAAGAGGCGGUCCAAAUCGGGAGAAGAAGCGGUCCAAAUCGGAAGGUUAAGUUCUUGUUUAAUAAUCUAAUUCAACAUUUAUCCUUAAUGGAUUCAAAUAUUAACAUAUUUAUAUGUCUUUAAUAAUCAAAAUUUAAAAUAUUUGAAUUAAUUAAGUGGCACUGAAUUUUGUAAGCAAAAUUUAUUCCUAAAAAUAAGUGAUAAAUUAUUCACUUAUCUCUUAAUUUGAUAUACACUCAAAUAUAUUAGAUUUAAUACUUAACAAUUCAAAUAAAUGAUAAAUUAUUUAUUUAUCACUUUAACGUGAAUGUAUCAAAUUUAAUAUUUAAUAUUUAAUAAUUUCAAAUUUCAAAUUUUAAAUUUCCUUUUUCAAAAACUUCAGUUUCAGAGAACGCACCCUAAAUCUUUUUGUAAUGCGGUCCUUUGUUUUACCGGGACUAUGACCUCCCACUUACUUUAUAAUUUAAAAAAAAAAAAAAAAAACCGGCGUUAUUGACUAUGUUAUUGCACAGUGGAAUACUCACAUCGAAAUCACAAAUGUGUUUGACGUUUUUAGGCUUCAAAGGGGCGACGACUUUCUGUUGUAGGGGGCCCCGCUCUAUUAAAGUCAAUCUCUUUUGUCAUAAAAUAAAUCACUGUCACUGCCAUUUUCCUAGCAAUGAUAAACGCUCACAAGAUAUGUAUAUUAUUGAGCUGGGAAUUUUUAAUUUCUGAAAUUUUCAGUGGAGUAAUGAAUUGUUAGUAGUUUUUUUUAUAGCGCAAAGUAUUAGUGUGGGCCAUGCAAAAGCUAGAGUUGGCGAAAUUAUCACAUGACAUUUCCCAUUUUCAACGGUUUUCCGUGGCCAUGAUAGUCAUUGACCAUGUGUUGCAUUUGAUACGGACGGAUUUAGGUCCCCGUAAAAUUACAAGGGAUAAUGCUUCCCGAAAAUCAAGAGCCAUAAUCUCGUUAGAUUGCUAAUAUUUGCUUUUGAUUUUAACUUUUUGUGUAUGUAUGUUUGCGUUCUCACAGCAAACAUUGCUAUUAUCGAAAUGAAAUAACAAAUUUCAUUCCCAAAAACCGGUUUAAGUGACGACUUUGAGAGUGUUUGAAUAGGAAAUUAUUUGAAAUAAUAUUUAAAAUAAUUAUAAUAGUACUUUUUAUUGCAUAAUGUACGUAAGACAAAAGAUAGUUGACAAUAUAAAAAAAAUUUUAUUGAAAAAUGUAUCUAUAAUAAAAAAUAAAUAGUAUUUUGUAAAUAAGUCUCAAUCCAAACAAACCCAUAUCAAUUAGAUAACUAAAGGCUUUUUAAUUCAAUUAUCAAAUACUUCCUUUUUCCCUUAUUCUAGUAGAGUUUAGGAUCUCUAUUUUUUUUUAAAAAAAAAAAAAAAGAGCAAAAUUCAUGUUAGCGUAUGAGUUACAUUACGCUUUUUGGAGCUGUUGCUUAUUUUGAGUGAUAGAUUUGAUUGUCUAUAAGACUAAAACAGAAGAUAGUUGAGGCCCCAGUCACCAAAAAUUUUUUAUUUUUGGUCUAUGACAUCAAAAUUUGAUGGAUAUAAAUCGGAUUUUCUCCUCGAACUUUGAAUACAAAAUGAAGGAUGGUCCUUCAACGCUCGGAAACAAUAUAAUUUUCAGCUCCUAAAUUGUUUAUUGCAUCGGUUUUCUCGAAAUAUUUGAGCUGAAUUUGAAAAAUCCUCUCAUUUGAGCUUCUAUACAGAAUUUCACGGAACUUGUAAAGCAACUUCUAAAGUGAACAUAUAGAUUGAACAGUUCCAUUCAUUGUACCUCUAAAGCCACCACUGGUUAAGAAUUUUGACUUCACUUUUUGAGAGGUAAAAUUUGAGCAACUUUAAAUACAAUUCCCCACCUAACAAGAAGAUUAGAGUCGUAACUCGUCUUCUAAAAAUUUUAAAAUAAUACUAUAAAAAGAAACAAAAACUUGUACUCCCUCCCUUUUUUUAUAACUGACAUUUAAAGUUUUGCACACCAAUUAAGAAAAAUUUUUCAUUGUUUAAAUCUAUACACUACUUUCCUUUUGUACCCUCAUUAAUUGUCCAAUUCACCCAUAUUUUCUCUCACUAGAGUAUUAAAUGGUGCUGUUUUACUAGGCCAAAAGCAAUGCAAACUAACUCCCACCAAUUAUGAAAAGAGAGAUAAAAUGGUAAAUUUGUGAAAAAAUAAUUAAUGCUACAUGGGGAUAAUAAAACGACAGAUAAAAGUACUUAAGAGCAAAUUUCUUAAACGUCAGUUAUAAAAAAAGGGAGGGAGUAUUAUUAAAGUGGCAUCAAAAAAUGGGAAAAGAUCUCCCCCAGGGAAACAUAUUUCUCCUGCUGCCCCGUAUGUGCGUGAGUCGACUACUAACAUUGAAUUUAAGGGCAGCAGAUAAUAAAUGAUAGUACUCCCUUCGUCCCACUUUGAUAGUCCUGUUUUUUUUUUUUCACACAGUUUAAGAAAAAGUAAUUAAUUUUGUUGGAAAAGUAAAUUUAGAUUGCUAUUUUCCUAAAAUACCCUCACAUUAAAUAUGGUACAACUUUAUGGGAACUUGAAUUGAUGGUAAAAAAAGAAUCAACUCUCAUUAAAUGGGGUAGGUUUAUAGUAACAACUACUUACGUUGAAUAAGGGUAAUUUAGGAAAAUUAAAAUACAACUACAUUCUUCAAUUGGAAAGUGGAAUAUAAUUUGGAACAGACGAAAAAGGAAAACAGGACUAUGAAAAUGGGACGGAGGGAGUAUAUAAUAUAUUUUUUUUCUUUCCGAGGAAAGCAGUUGCUUCUAUUACUACUACCAGAAGAACUUAAUUAGUGUACUAUAAUAUACUAGCACUGUACUAACAUAAAAGAAUGGGAAAAUGAUUGUGUCAGACCAGGUUUCAGUUUCCUAGAACAAGUACUACUAAUAUAGCAUCACGUACAACAUUCUAGUAGUACCUUACCGUUAUAGCAGGUGUACCCUCCCAGCCUGACAAAUUAAAAGGAGAAAGGGUUGGUGGGGCAAUUAAUUAUCUUGCACAAAUAAUGGUUGCCAUGUUGACAAGCUGAUGGUAUCCUUUUUCUGGCCUUUGGGACCCACAAAGGCAGCCCAAUUUGGACGGCGAGUGCGUGAGGAAGGUUGGCACCCCGAUGCAUCAUGCAGGUGCACCCGGCUAGAAGCGUGAGGUAGCCGGGGAGAAACAAUUGGAAAGUAAUUGGCACAUUUGAUCCUUGAACUUUACUCUUAGUUUCGAUUUUGUCCCUGAUACUUGAAGACUAAUUUGUAAAUUCCCAAAAUCCCCAUAUAUGUAUGGUUCGAAAGCUAUUUAUUUAGUCAUUAUAGCCAAAAAACUAAAAGUUACUUCUCAAUAAAUAGUGUGUUUUAUGUGAAGAUGCGUCAAAGUCAAUUAUUGUGAGCCGCACGGGAUUACGAGUUCGCAUGGAUUGGAAUUUCUCAUCCUCCUUCAUUUAUCUUUGAAAAUCUUCCUUCUGACCUAUAGCAUUUUAUCAACGAAAGGCUAAAAGCUAUAUUUUGGUUGAAAUUCUCGGUCAUUUUUAUUUGAAAAUUUUUGGAAAGUACAUUUAUGAGUUGUGGAAUGUACAAUUUAAUUAUUAAUGUUUCGAUUGUUUCAUCCAAAUCAAUGAUAAUAGAAGACGUAUAAGCACAUGAUUUUUUUUUUUUUUUUUGUUAACGCCGGCUUAGUGAUCUAGUAGUAGCAUUUUUUGCUCUUAAAUGCCGAGGAACAAUAGCUUUAAACAUGCUACGCACUUCCUUUACAAAUACUAAAGAAGAGAAAUGAACCGUCAAGAGGUAAAAGUGGAACCAAGCUUCAGGACCAAAUUUGGAAAAUCUCAUUUAGUUAAGCUCCUCGAAUAGAUUCUAAUAAUAACCAAAAAUACAUAUAUCUAUAAAGUAAAUUUUAUUUAUAUUGACGGCGUAUACACUAUCAAAAUUGGAUAUACGUUACAUAUGCAAAAUUUAAAUUCGAAUUAUGUGUCAUAAAUUUAAUGAUAAAAAGUGUAUAUACUGUCAGCGUAUAGAAAAUUAAUCAAUAUUUAUAUUAUGUAGGUAAAAAAAUUUUGCCGAAUUAAUAUUGAGAGAGAGAGAGAUAAAAUGUGCAUGCCUAUAAGUGAGAGAGACCGAGGGAGAAACAAAGGGGCCACUUGAGGGGUUGGGGUUGUAAGCAAGAUUGAGACUUUUGGAGCUGGUUGCAUCUCUAUUCUCUUCGUGCCCUUGAGGAGGUUUGUUUAGGCAGAGCAGGUAUAAAAACGCACCCCCUCUUGGCCUCAUCUCACUUCAAAGAGAUCAGAACCCCUUUUAAACCGUAGCCUUGUUGCGGGUUGUGGCAGGAUUGUGUGUUCUGCCGCCUGUCCCUCCCCUCAUCUCACCUCCCCCACGCCCAAUCCCCAACCCUCUAGUAUUAGUGAUGUACUAGGACUACUUUCCUAGGGGAUUGUAAUAACUCAUUCAAUGAAUCUUUGAUAUAAACUCUUCUAUCUCCUCUUCAUUCAAGUUCUCUCCAUCCCUUCUGCUGGGAAACUCUUUUAACUCUUUUUGUGUCUUUACCAAGUAGUUCGCGUAUAUAUAUAUAUACGGGGAUAGCUCUAGCGGCGGUGAGGAGGCGAGGCAGCGACACCAGUCAUGGGUGGCGACAAGGCUAUCAGUCUUGAAGAGAUCAAGAAUGAGACCGUCGAUUUGGUAAAACUCUCUUCCUUCUUUCUCCCUUCUCCAUCGUUUGACUUUGGUGAAUUUUUGCUUUCAUAUCCAUUCUCAAUUGGAUAACAGAAAAAACAGGGAUCCAUCAAGUGCCCUUUUCAUCCCUUAAACCUUAAUUCCCAAUCACCUACUACCUGCUAUACCGAUGAUCUGCUUCACUUUUAGUAUUCCUGAUAGUCUCUCUCUCUCUCUCUCUCUUAAAAAAAGAAAGAAAUUCUUUUCCAUUCUUUUAGCUGUUUUUAACUUCAGUAAAUCUGUUUUUGUGCGUGAAACGAGAAAUCCUAAGAUGCUUUGCUUGUAGAUACAUAAACCUUUCCAGUUUUCGUUCUCCUCAUGGUCAAACAUGAACUAAUUUCACCAGCAGUUUUCAGAACCAAAUUCGAUUUUGGGCCACUCCAGUUUCACUGGCCUAACCUUUUUCUAUCCUCUGUGUUGCCCUGCCCCUUUUCACUGCUUUUAUUGUUAGCUUCGUUUCGGCGCAAAUUGCUCGGCAGAUUCUCUUUUGUUCCCACCACGCACGCACGCACUCAUGCAAACCUAAAUACUCACUCCUAAUUAUCAUUAUUUGUUUAUUCUUAAAGUAAACAAAUAAAAUUAUUAAGUAUUCUGAAUAUUUUCAAUUACGUAAUAAUUGUCAAACUUGAUUAUUCUCAAUCCAUGAUUCCAUCUCUCAGCAAAAAAAAAAAUUUUUCCUGAGAUUUUCCUUUUCGGAUGCUUUCAAUUACUAGUAUUAUAGUAGCGUACAAGAAAAUUUUGACUAGUCAUGGAAAGUAAAUUUUGAUACGUACAUAGAUGUGCGAGAAUGGUGCGCGGGGCCAAUAGUAGAAAAAAGAAAAAAAGACGAAGACUUAGCGUUAUAGCCAUAGCCAUAGGUGCAACUACGGGAAAAUAAUUACUCCUAUGAUUUUGAUAUGAGAAGAGUUUUCCAUUUUGGAUCGGACUAUAUAUGGUCUGGUCAAUUUGCAUUUUAUUUUAAUUGUACCACUGAUAAUCAUAUCCUGUUAAAUUUGCUACGAUUACGAAGCCAUGUUCACCUGAUGUGAUUGGAAGUUUUGGUCAAUAGUUUAUCAGUCUAACAAACCAGCCCAUUUUAUGUCAUAUACGCUGGCUUGUGUACUUUGAUUAGUCCCUAGCUAAAUAAAUAGGUAACUAAACCAUGUUGUUCUGGAUAACUGCUUUAUUUUGUCAUUCCUUAUCUUUUUGUCCAGCAAUUAGAAAUUUGUCUUUCAACUUAAUCCCAAAAUUACCAUCAUUAAGCGAUGAGCAAUACUUGUAGCGGAUAUCUGUAUCUUUUAUCUUGUUUUAAAUUAUGUGUUUGGAUUGGAGAUUUAUCUAAAAUAAUAUUUUUGAAAAAUGCGGUGAUACUGCCUUUUUGUGAUGCGAUAUACCUUAAAUGAAAAGGAUACUGAAAAAAUAAAAAGAUUGUUGAAAAAUGUGUUUGUGAUAUAAUCAAAAACUAUUUUACAAAUAAAGCUCAAUCCAAACACACUUGACCCACUCUGUACAAGAUCUAAGCACAAAAACAUAAAAAUUAAUUCCGGUAAAAAUUAAAACGUAUAUAGGACUUUUUCACAUAUGUAAUUUGUCCCUAAUGGCGAAAGUAAGGCUUAAUUACCAAUUAAAACUUGCAGUACGUUUUCUUUUUUAUUACGACUGUUGGUUGUGUCAGAUUUGUGUUUUUUUAGGUUGGAACUUUUCCAUGUACCUUUCCGUGGUACCAUUACACUUGCUCUGGAUUGAUGGUUCGUUUUGGAAUUUACCUCGGCCUGCCCGGCCUAACGGUUUUCUGACUGGUCCGCAAUUUCGGUUAUUUCCUUUGUUACCCCCCCUUUUUUUUUUGACGAUUCAGGCUGGCACCCGCCCCUGGAUUAGUUAAUUAUGGAAAUAUUUUUAAUGAAAAUAAUAGUAAAUCUUACCCGUUGGUUUUCCCGAUAUUUCAAGGAUGCCGUCUUUUCUUCGUGGUUGGGGCCUGUGGGGGGGGGGACCGGGGGAGCAAUACUGCCUAAUAGGUCAGGAAGAGCGUGACGCGACCCAUAUCUUCGUUACUUUUGCUUUUUGGCGCGUGAUGGACACGUGAAAGGUGGCUUACAAAGGCUGGGCUAGUCAAUUGGUGUGAUUGGUGGGGAUGGCCCUGGGCCGUUCUUUUGGGAUUGGGAACUUGUUUGUGGGGUCCAUUGCCCAAGUCGAAAGUCAACUUAGAUGACUCACACAUCCGUAUGAAACUGUACUUUUGGUGUCCUAGUACAGUAGUAGGAGUAUUAUUCAUGUGACUAACAGCCUAACAGGUAUCCGAGUGCGUGACUGAGAAAGUGUUGUGAAGCUGCACCAUUAAUAAUCAAAAAGUAAAGCUACCCAAUAAUUAUCCUAAUGAUUAGUUGAUAAUUGUUUAAAUUAAAUUAAAAAUUUAAAUUGAUUGAUAGAAAUGUUUAAGAAAUAUCAGUCCACUUGGAAUUUUUUUUUUAUUUUCCUUUUUUUCCCCCUCACAAACGGAGGAUGCCCUUUUAGAGUUGAACAAGCCCUUUCAUUUAAGUUGUAGGGAGCAUUUUAACUUAAAUUUGUUAAUUGUACAUUAUUUUCAUAUUCAUAACGUGAUGGCUCAUUUUUAUUUCUUGUCUCCAUCUGACUUUGGUAUCAGAUCUGGAUAGUGCAAAAGCUAUACUCAAAUAGAUGUUUAAAGCUAAGCAAAGAUCAGAAUUGUAGUCAAUGUAUUUGAAUAUCAAUCAGCUUUGUGAAGAGUGGUGGCUUCUAGUUUAGUUUCAAGUUGUGUUAGUGGAACUUCUAUGUGACACGGUGCCUAGCAAUAAGCAUUGGAUUUUGUUACUCGGAUUCAGAAGUACUCAUUUUGCUGAUGGACUUUAAUCAGUGCAUUAAAAUGAUCCCUGAGACAAUAAGCUGAAUGAUUUGAUUUUUUUUCUUGCUUUCUGCCGUCUAAUUACAGGAAAAAAUACCCAUCGAGGAAGUGUUUGAGCAGUUAAAAUGUACCAGGGAAGGUUUAUCUUCAGAGGAAGGAGCCAACAGAUUGCAAAUCUUUGGCCCCAACAAAUUGGAAGAGAAAAAGGUAUGUUUUAUUCUUAUUAAUUUUAUUUAUUAAUGGCUUCAUAAUUACUCUAGUUUCUAGUUUGCAAGUAUCUGAAUGUCAUUGUACUUUGUAUAAUUUCUUCAACCUGUUCGCAGGAAAGCAAGAUACUCAAGUUCCUUGGUUUUAUGUGGAAUCCACUUUCGUGGGUCAUGGAAGCUGCUGCUAUCAUGGCUAUUGCACUGGCAAACGGAGGUGGUAAGGACCCUGAUUGGCAGGAUUUUGUUGGUAUUGUGUGCUUGCUCGUUAUCAACUCCACUAUCAGUUUCAUUGAAGAGAACAAUGCUGGAAAUGCUGCUGCAGCUCUUAUGGCUGGUCUUGCUCCAAAAACUAAGGUACCAAAUUCACACGCCUUUACAUCUAACUAUCAUCUUGGAAUUCACCUUUCACCAAUCACUUUUUUAAAACUGGCCAGACUCACAUAUGCCAAUAAACAAAUAAAACUAAACAAUUACGUACAUUAGCUUCUUAUGUCUUAUUCCGGCUGGUAAAAAUAGGUGCUUAGAGAUGGCCGAUGGAGUGAACAGGACGCAGCUAUUCUGGUUCCUGGAGAUAUUAUAAGCAUAAAAUUGGGGGAUAUCAUCCCUGCUGAUGCUCGUCUUCUCGAAGGUGAUCCCUUGAAGGUGGAUCAAUCUGCCCUUACUGGAGAGUCCCUUCCUGUUACAAGGAAUCCAGGUGAAGAAGUUUUCUCUGGUUCAACAUGCAAACAAGGGGAGAUUGAAGCUGUAGUUAUUGCUACUGGUGUCCACACUUUCUUUGGCAAGGCAGCACAUCUUGUGGACAGCACCAACCAAGUUGGGCAUUUCCAGAAAGUGCUAACCGCCAUUGGAAACUUCUGCAUCUGCUCCAUUGCCGUGGGAAUGUUGAUUGAGUUAAUCGUCAUGUACCCCAUUCAACACAGAAAAUAUAGAGACGGAAUUGACAAUCUCCUUGUUCUCUUAAUCGGAGGCAUUCCCAUUGCUAUGCCCACUGUCUUGUCUGUUACAAUGGCUAUUGGGUCACACAGGCUAUCUCAACAGGGUGCAAUUACAAAAAGAAUGACUGCCAUUGAGGAAAUGGCUGGCAUGGAUGUCCUCUGCAGUGACAAGACAGGAACUUUGACUCUUAACAAGCUUACUGUUGACACAAACUUAAUCGAGGCAUUUGCAAAGGGAGUAGACAAAGAGCAUGUUCUACUUUUGGCUGCAAGGGCUUCUAGAGUAGAAAAUCAGGAUGCAAUUGAUGCUGCCAUUGUAGGGACGCUUGCUGAUCCAAAGGAGGUAUCACUGUCAUUUUGAACCCUUCCAAAUCUUUCUUUGAUAUAAUUUUGGACAAUUAAAACCUCUGACUUUGCUGUUCUUCCUAUAUUUGGUUUAAUAAAGAUCAUGCUGUUAUUUCCAUUAUGCUCUGUAGGCACGAGCUGGUAUCAGAGAAGUCCAUUUCUUGCCCUUUAACCCUGUGGACAAGAGAACUGCUUUGACUUAUAUUGAUGCCGAGGGCAACUGGCAUAGAGCUAGCAAGGGAGCCCCAGAGCAGGUGUUAAUAUAGAUCCAUUUAUUCAGCUCCCUUCUCCACAAACAAAUAGCUCAAAGUUCAAAGACAAUCACUAAAAUCAUGUUUUAUUAUGUGUUACCAGAUUCUAACUCUCUGCAAUGCCAGUGAAGACUUUAAAAGGAAGGUUCAUGCUAUCAUAGAUAAGUUUGCGGAACGUGGGUUGCGAUCAUUAGCUGUUGCAAGACAGGUUUUCUGAUCCCAAAAUUUAUGGUUGAUGCAUUUGGAUACUACUAGUUUUUCAUAUAUAGAUACAUGUAGAUACUAAUAUGUCUCAUCAGUUUACCUUUACACUAAUAUGUCCCAUCUGUCAACGUAUAUGCUAUAAAUACUACUACUUUCUCACAGCUAGAUACUUUAUGUUUUACCAUUUAUCAUGUCAUUUAUAUACUGGAUGGUAACUCUCUGUAAUAUCAUAUUCACAGGAAGUGCCUGCAAAAUCAAAGGACAGUCCUGGUGGUCCAUGGCAAUUUGUUGGUUUGCUAUCCCUCUUUGAUCCUCCAAGACAUGAUAGUGCCGAGACAAUCCGCAGGGCCCUUAAUCUUGGUGUAAAUGUAAAGAUGAUUACAGGUGAUUGAUUGCUUAUUCAUCUUCCCUUCAAAGCAUGUUCUGCAUGUUAUUGAUGUUCAUUCUUCUCACUAUUAAUUUAUUCAAAUUGUUUGAUAUCUAGGUGAUCAACUUGCUAUUGGCAAGGAGACUGGACGCAGACUUGGAAUGGGAACAAACAUGUAUCCUUCUGCUUCUCUACUCGGUCAACACAAAGAUGAGUCCAUUGCUGGCCUUCCUGUCGAAGAGUUGAUCGAAAAGGCUGAUGGAUUUGCUGGAGUAUUUCCGGGUAAGAUGUGUUGCUCAUGGCUAUUUACACUUCCUGAAGACUAAUAUCAGGGACUUUCAAGGCUUAAGGUUAUAUGGUUUCCAUGCAGAGCACAAAUAUGAAAUAGUGAAGAAGUUGCAGGAGAGGAAGCAUAUUGUUGGGAUGACUGGAGAUGGAGUAAAUGAUGCCCCUGCAUUGAAGAAGGCAGACAUUGGAAUUGCAGUUGCAGAUGCUACUGAUGCUGCAAGAAGUGCUUCUGAUAUUGUGCUUACUGAACCUGGUCUAAGUGUUAUCAUAAGUGCUGUUUUGACUAGUAGAGCUAUUUUCCAGAGAAUGAAGAAUUACACGGUUAGUUUCUUCUCCUAUCUAUUAGUGUAUCAGACUUUUUGUAUGAUGGCCUUCUAAAUUAUCUAUAUUUUCUUUUUUCUUUUACAGAUAUAUGCAGUCUCCAUUACUAUUCGUAUUGUGGUAAGUUCAUUAAAGCAUUUGCAUAACAAUUAAACAGCAGAGAACCUUACACUGAAUUACUUGCUUUUUCUGACACCCCAUCUCUAUUGCAGUUUGGCUUCAUGCUUAUUGCUUUGAUAUGGAAGUUUGAUUUCUCUCCCUUUAUGGUUUUGAUUAUUGCUAUCUUGAAUGACGGUAAGUUUUUUGGUACAAAUCCAAUAAUCAAAUUUUUGUAUGGGUGUCCAAGUUGUCUGGUGUAAUGGAUAUGCUGCUUCAAUCAGGAACAAUUAUGACAAUCUCAAAGGACAGAGUGAAGCCAUCACCUCUCCCUGAUAGCUGGAAACUAAAAGAGAUUUUUGCCACUGGCGUUGUGCUUGGAGGCUACCUGGCAGUGAUGACUGUUGUUUUCUUUUGGGCAAUGCAUAAAACUGACUUUUUCCACGUAAGAAUGAAGCUCUUCUGUUUGAUGUUUAUUUCUUUUUCUGUGUUUACUACUCCAUAAAUAUUGCUUGUUUAAAUCAUUUUUCUGCUUUUUUCUUGAUGAUUCAGGACAAAUUUGGGGUCAAAAAUAUAAGGAACAAUGAGGAUGAAAUGAUGGCUGCUCUAUACCUACAAGUCAGUAUUGUUAGCCAGGCUCUGAUUUUUGUCACUCGGUCGCGCAGUUGGUCUUAUGUUGAACGCCCUGGGCUGUUGUUGUUAACUGCUUUUGUCAUUGCUCAGCUGGUAAGUGUUGGUGCCUUCGCAUUUCUACCUUCAGAGAGUUAAGUUGUCCAUUUGGGGGAAAAACUUCUAUUCUGUUGUAGAAAGAGCUCUACAUCUUCCUUUCUCCUCAUUGUAGAGUCUCCAUUUAUUUUGUUGAAUGACCAAGGAAAAAGGAAAUAAACAGAAGCAAAAGAGUUGAUGUACUAUCCUCCCUAAGAACUGACUUUUCAGGAUUAGAAACAGCGUUUAACUACUAAUGAUACUAGAUUAAAUAACCAUCUUUUUUCCAUGUUCUCCAUGAUAUUAUCCACACAACUUGGAUGUCUCCAUGAUGAGAGUUGAAUGUAUCACAUGAAUAGAGAAAGAAGUUGGAUAGCCUUCCUACCUAUCAUACAUGACAUUAUACUACUCUUCUUGGAUGUUGAAUUCCUUUACCUGUGAUUACUAAUUUAUUAAGGUGCUACUUCUGAUUUGUUACUGACUGUUUAAGAUGCAUAAUAUGUUUUGGUGUUUCAGGUUGCAACGUUGAUUGCUGUUUAUGCUAACUGGAGUUUCGCUAGAAUUAAAGGAUGCGGUUGGGGAUGGGCUGGUGUAAUCUGGCUUUACAGUGUAGUGUUUUAUGUGCCACUUGACUUCCUUAAGUUCUUCAUUCGUUAUGUAUUAAGUGGAAAGGCUUGGCUAAACUUGAUCGACAACAAGGUAUAGCGGAUUUCUCCUCGAACUGCCUUGAAUUUAAUUUUUUAUCCCUUCCCCAUGCUCGUGUUCCUCUCUCUUCAACUCAUCUUGUGCUGCCUUGGAAACAGAUCGCUUUCACAACCAAGAAGGAUUAUGGCAAAGAGGAGAGGGAAGCUCAAUGGGCUGUUGCUCAGAGGACUUUGCAUGGACUUCAACCACCUGCUGCCUCUGGCAUCUUGGACGAAAAGAGCAGCUACAGAGAACUUUCUGAAAUUGCUGAACAAGCCAAAAGGAGAGCUGAAAUGGCCAGGUAAUUAAGACGUUGCUUAGCCGUGUGUCAAAUUUUCACCUUACGCAUGUGCAUUUUGUGCCUGGGAACUCUGUAAUAAACAUUUUCUACGUCGAUUGGCAUAGGCUUCGGGAGCUGCAUACACUCAAGGGUCAUGUUGAGUCAGUGGUGAAGCUCAAAGGCUUGGACAUUGAAACUAUUCAGCAGCAUUAUACCGUCUGAAGAAGUUAAUGAACCCUGAGCGUGAGGGGCCUGCUGGAAAAAGAAGUGUCGAUCAGAGAAAGCAGAGAAGGCCAUAUUAGUUAGAUAAAAGUCUGUCUUGAGAAAGGGCAAUAUAUGUGCCACACAGCUCCCUUUCUGUCUACUUCAGUUUUUUUUUUUUAAUGGUUUUAGGGGUACCCAAGUAAAAAAGGGCCUCCUAGUUAUAUCUUCUGUAACACGUCUUCAACUUGAAUUUCCCUCUCACUUUUGCUUCCUUCUAUCAUCCUGGUGGGUUUUACAGUCUCUGGAUGUCACUUUUGAAUAAUGUAACUAACAGAAAACCUUCCAAUUUUCAACUCAAGAGAUGCUCUCAAUCAAAUGUUUGCAGUGGACGUUCGUUCCCUGAAAAUUCUAAUUGAGCCAGGAUGCUUCAAAUUCUCGUUCGUCCAGCGAAUUUUCACUGAAUUUGGAUUUUACAGUGCCAAUAUACCGACUACUCUCUACUCACAGCAUCCACCGGGCUCUCUUUUUGACAGAAACUGCGUCCAAAACAGAGCUACUAUUGCGAAUUGAAAUUUAUGUGAGUUCGGGCUGAAUAAUGGCCCAAUCACUUUCUUGUUAUUUGUCUUCCGUAUGCUCAAAGCAUGAAAGCGUGGACCCUUAUGCAACAAUAUCGAUAAUUGUUUUCGUUGGAAGUCAAUAAACUUUUUACUGCAUCAAUUAAUCUUUGUCAGAAUCUCCCAGGGGCAAUUGAAAAUUUUUAUUGGAGUAAACAUUACCUGAUGUAAUCAUUGUUCUUGUAUGAGAAAAAGAAAAGGGACAUAAUCGGUUGAUGUUAAUUGACUUACUGUCCAUUCAGGAUUCAAAGAGCCCAGUCGUCUGAUUGACAGACGCACAAAAUACUUUUUAUCUGAAGAUGCUCUUAGGGCUGCUUUUGUUUGAAGAGGAAAGUUUCAAAUCUUGACUAUUGAUUCCAAAAAACAAGAAAAUCUUCCCUAGCCAAGGAAGUUGGCUCUGGGAAUUAAUUCCAAGUGGUACUUGUAAUUUAAUUAGAAUGUGAUCUGCAAAACUAUCUAUAUAUACAUGAUUUGCCAUGUUUGGUAUAAAGGCCACAGAUUUGCAGUCUAAUUUCCUCAGAAGCAUAGACGUGCCGCCGCCUAGUACUCAUC